AGAAGUUUAGUGAUUACAGGUCGGAGGAGCUUGCAUACAUGGUGUUCCAUGAAUUGAAUUUAUUUCGUCAGCUACCACCUCAAAUUGAAGUUUUGAGGAAGGCUAUUACAAAAGCAUAACCAGUUGCCGGCACUAGCAAACCAAAAUGUUUCGCGAGGGGAGUCACAAGCUAGCCAUGUUUAUUUCCAUAUCCACCAUGAUUACUUUCCCGACAGAUAUUCGUCCUAAUGUAAACCUAAGUGACGGAGAAUAUUAUUGUACUGCUUUCCGUACUUGCUUCUGCAUUACUGUAUUUUGUAUUAUCUAAUCGUAUAUUAGGUGGCACAAUCGAUGGCUGCAAUGUGCAUUAAUGUUUUAUAUAUUUUCUGUAGUACCUUUUCUCUCCCGUUAUAUACGAGGUCAUUACUACCUAAUACUCCCUCCGUCUCGAAAUAAGUGCCUCAACUUUGUACUAGAGUUUCAGACACUUAGUUUGGGACAGAGGGAGUAUUAUUUACAAUUACAGGUUAAAUCACCAGAACUUAUUUCCAUUCACUGCAAGUAGGCACAACCUUGUACCAGAAGGCAUGCCAAUUUCCUACCAGCUCUUUGAACGUGUCACUCUAUGUUUAAAUAUUUUUCAUAUUUUUAAAUAUGUAAAUUUUCCUGCAAAUCUUUGACCAAAUCAUACAAUGCAGCCUACGAUAUGUCAAGGCUACAUUUUCAUUACACAUACAUUUUUCUUUUUGUUUUCCUGUCACCGAUGUGAUCAAUUUUUUUAUAGUAACACCAUGCACCAUAUAUGGUAAAUCGACCGUAGAUUCUUACGAACUAUCCUUAUAUGGUAACACACUGAAACAAUAAUAGUAAUUCCCUUCAUUUUACGCAGUACUUAUUCCCUCCAUUCAAUCGUGCCGGCAAUAGAUUAGGGAAGAAAUCGUGGCCGCAAUACAUGCGCCUUUCCCGCCCCCACCUCCCCACUAAUCUUGCCGCAGCACUAUAUAAAUAUGUUUCUCCUGCGCACUGAAAUCUCCUACACCUCCCAGUUUCAUCAGAGCUCCCAAGUGCAUGCAAGCCAUGCCUCCUUCAGCCAUUAGGCCUCCUCGCAAGCCAUCCGCCAUGCCACGGCUAUACUGCGCCUGUGGCACACACGCCCAGAGGCUCGUGCAACUCGUUGGAGCUAACGAGGGGAGGUUCUUCUACCAGUGCCCCUAUUGGGAUGUAAGCGCUCCUAUUCUCAUUUCUUUGAUGUAUUUCCAUGCUUCACGUCACCUCGGGUUUUUACAUCCUUGUGCUUGCAGGAUCCAUCGGCUGCAGCCUGCAACAUCUUUAUUUGGGAAGAUAUUCUGGACAAUUACGUUAACCAGAACCAGUGGCAUCUUGAUCUGAAGGUGGCCUUCGAUGCUGCAGACAAUGCCAAGGCACAAACCAUCAAAAUUGCUAGACAGAUGAAGCUGUCCCUUGCUUUUGCCAUUGCCGCUCCUGUUUUUACUUUUCUCAUGUUUUACUACCUAGCUUGAUAUGAUGUACCACUCGAAAUGCGGAGACACUUCAUUGAUGAAGUAUUUUAUUUCCUUUCUUUGUUAGUUGCCUCUCCCAUGUUUUAGUAAUCCCUUGAUAUGAUGUACCGCUCUAAAUGUCCGAGAGACUUUAAUUAAUGUAGUAUUUGCUUUCCUUUCUAUAUUACCAGUGCAAGUUCUGCAGAUGAUACUUCACCGUGUUUUCUAUAAAUUGUUUGAUGUUGUUACCAUUGCUGAUUCGCCCGAGAUUCCAAUAUACCUACAUAAGUUUUGUGAUUGCUUUUUUUGGUCAACGUAAUCCUCACAUGUUUCUCUUGUGGUCUGGGGUCGUAAAUACAUUAAAUAAAUCUAUGGUUAUAGCAAUUCGCAACUGUAGUAAUGCGCUUACUAUCCGCAAGAAUUGGGGCCUCUUGCCAUUAGACAGUAUAUAUGGUAAAAACAACCUGUUACUCCAGUAUAUCCCAUCAAAUGUUUCUAUUGCAGACGGCCGACGUUGUCACAGAUUAUAACCCAAUAGUAAUGGUUACUGUAUAGUAACCGUAAAGCAAAUAACAGUAAGAGUCUUACCACGACUCCUUACUUUCUCAUACCCCACUUACCACCACCAACACGCCAUCAUUUCCUUAACCCCCCCACCCCGUCCUUGCGGAUGUGUGCGUACUAACUGCUCUCUAAUCGCUGAACACCCCCAUCCAUACUCCAUCUCCAUCUCAUCUUCCGAAGCUUCUUCCAUGAUUUCCUGAUGAAGGCAAGAUAUCUCUCGUAAUGGAUCCCUCUCCUGUGACAUUCAAUUUCUCGCAAGGAGCUCCAGCAACUUCUACGCCAACAUCAUGGAAGAACACCGCCGGUGCAUCAUCUUCAUCAUCAUCUGUCCCCUGCAGUCCACCAUCUGUACGAGAUCCACGGAUGCACACUUCCGUCCUCACCCCACCGCCAGGACUCCAACCGGGUGACAUGGUCACCCCUGAUAAAACCCAAACCUACAGUCCGGUAAGUUCCGAUUCAGUUUAAUCUUGUACAUUUUCCCUCUUUGAACUUGGUGUUCCUAUUUCCAAUUUCGUUUCUAUACGCAGCGUGAAGAUAUUUCCGAAGACAUCGUUCCUAAACUGCUGCAAUGCUUUGCUGACGAGAAAGAAGCUUACGAAUUUUAUGUCCGCUACGCAAGUCAUGCUGGAUUUGAUGUUCGCAAGAGUCGCACAAAAAAGACGGUGCGUGAGUUUUGCUGUUCCCGUGAAGGGCAUGCACCCCUACCAAAUCACGACGAAGAACGCAAGCGAGCAAAGAUGUCGAAGAGAACAGGCUGUCGAGCCUUUGUCAAGCUAAGGAAAAAUCUGAAAGAUGGAUCUUUUCAAAUUGAGAGGCUAGUUCAAGAACACAACCAUCCUCUUGUAUCCACGCCCUCCCAACUUAAGUUUAUGAGGGUACACAAAAACUUUGAUCCUUCAUUAAUGUUGUUCGUCGAUCAUUUGCAAGCCGCAAAAGUAAAACACAAGUCUAUGAUCAAUUUGCUCUCAGACAUGCAUGGUAGCCGAGAUAAUAUUCCUUUUCCGGACAGGGACUUGGAGAAUAGGUACCCGUGUUACUCAUUGUUUNNNNNNNNNNNNNNNNNNNNNNNNNNNNNNNNNNNNNNNNNNNNNNNNNNNNNNNNNNNNNNNNNNNNNNNNNNNNNNNNNNNNNNNNNNNNNNNNNNNNCCAGUCGACUGACAGAAAGAUUGACAUCAUAAAGCCUAAGGCCGACUGCCAGCAGUCGACCUUAGCCUUGGGGACUACACCCAGCGGGUGCACUCAGCGUGCCCCCGCUAACACGGAGUUUAUUCGACACACCCAGUGGGUGACUAAUAUAAAUUCCGGAAAAGAAAAGUUUUUGGUAGCAUAUCCAACAGAACAAACAGCGGUCGACUGACCUGGACAUUGCUUUGGAGGGCAGAACUGGCGUCAUAAGCUGCCUGGCUCGCGUCCCGGAUGGUCUUCAGCUGCUCCAUCAUGAGUCCCGCCUGGCGUAUUGCCUCCUUCGCUGCGCCAGCUUGGUCCUCUGGGACGUGGUGCGUCGUAAAGAGGGAGGGCUGCUGAGCACUCGUCAGUGGAUUUGUGAAGGACACCGUGUGUCGAGUGGUGUUCCCUUCCUCCACAGUCAGAAUCUCAGGCGCCGUCACAUCCUGAGGUACCUUACUGGCAGACGCUUUCCGACUCCUCCUGCGUGUCAGUGGUUCUUCAUCCUCGUCGUCGUCAGGGAGAUUGAUAACAGUGUUGGGUGGAGCUGCGGAGAAGGAUCAGGAUCAGAGAUCGCGAGUCAGUCGACUAAGAACGGUGUUAAGAACACAUUACCUGGAUUCGAAGUUGCUGCAUCCUCCAUCUCGUGGUCAUCAGCCCGGGCCGAGGUCUCAGAAGUAGCAGCACUGCAACUCCAAAGGAUCAGUCGACUAACUUCAGCGUCGACCAGAGAUAAAGUUCGCACAGAAUAAGAAAAUAUGAGCAGCACAAUUACCCUGAUAUGGUGGGGAUGGACACCUUCAUCUUCGGCAGGAGCUUGGUCGGCUUUGGCGGAGCCCCCCUAGGCUGCUUCGGCGCCUUUUCAGUCGGCGCUGGAGAAGUGGUCCUAGGGCGCUUGGUCGACUACGUCGCAACCCCCUUGCCACGUUCAGUCGAAGGGUCGUGGACGAGCUUCGACCGCCUUUCCAAGCGCGGUGGCACGACCUCCUCCUCUUCCUCCUCGUCUUCGGCGUCAUCAUCAUCGCUGUCGUCAUCAUCAUCGUCGUCGUCGUCCCCUGCAACGUCCGAGUCCCAUUCCUCCUCGUCCUGGCUCUCGCCCCCACUCGCCUCACCCUCCUCAGUCGGAGUUUGUGCCCCAUUGGGCAUCGAGUACAGCUCGGUGAGGGCCUAGCAGAUAUCAAGACAAUGAUCAGUCGACCAGUCGGCAGAGUAAACAGAGAUGAAUGCGACAAGAAUGCAGUGGAGAGCAGGGCAAGUGUACCUUAUCUGGAUCACUGUUGUGGUCGAGUGGAGGAAUCCUUCUGGCUCCGCGUGGGUUGUCCUUGUUUCCGGUGACGGCUACCAUCCAUCUUUCCAGAGUGACAUCGUCGACUGCUUCUGGAUGGACUCUAGUCUCGUCUUCGGUCCCACAGUACAACCACAUGCAGUGGCUCCGGAACUGGAGAGGCUGGAUGCGACGCCUGAGGAAAACCUCCAGGAGGUCCAUGCCCGUCACUCCCUCCCGAACCAACUGCACCACGCGCUCCAUCAACAUCUUCACGUUAGCUUUCUCCUCCGGAAUCAGCUUCAGAGGGGAAGGCUUGCUCACUCGGUCCAUGGUGAACGGAGGGAGUCCACUCGACUGCCCUGGCGUCGACUGGACCUGGCAGUAGAACCAAGUCGACUGCCAGCCUCUGACGGACUCGGGAAAGGUCAUGGGCGGGAAGGUGCUCUUAUUCCUCACCUGAAUCCCCAGGCCUCCGCACAUUUGGACGACUCGGGUUCUCUCAUCACCUGGGCUCGCCUUCUUCACGGUCUGAGAUCGACACGUGAAUAUAUGUUUGAACAAACCCCAGUGCGGUCGACAGCCCAAGAAACCCUCACACAUGGACACGAACGCGGCAAGAUAGGCAAUGGAGUUUGGGGUAAAGUGGUGGAGCUGCGCUCCGAAGAAGUUCAAAAAGCCACGAAAGAAAACACUCGGUGGCAAGGAAAACCCGCGAUCAACAUGGGUGGCCAAAAGCACACACUCACCCUCUUCUGGCUGGGGCUGCCACUCCUUCCCCGGAAGCCUCGCAUCUCCGUGGGGGAUCAAGCCCUCGUUGGCCAUGUCGAGGAGGUCAUUCUCCGUGAUGGUCGACUGGAUCCAGUCUCCUUGGACCCAGCCCUUCGGCAGGCGGGAUCUAGACGAGGACCCUCCGCGGCUGGUGGAUCUUCCUUUCGCCUUCUCCGAUGCCAACGCCUUCUUUGCGCGCUCCAGCGCCGUCGUCUUCUCCUUGGCCAUGGUCGCCGGCGAGAUGCGCAAAGGGAAGUGGUGCGGGGGCGAGAGCGAGCACGCUGAGCAGGGAGGAAGGAAGCAGAGAGAGGGGAAGAAUGCUAAGGCGCAGCACAGAAAUCCUCGCCGGGCACAUUUAUAAGGUCCCUUCCGAGUGGAUGACAGGUGGGCCCGGGCGAUCUAAUCAUAUCUGGAACAGUUAUGUAGGCGGGAUACGUGGCGAAAAAGGCGGCGCGGAGAUCGAGGCGUCCAUGCCCCGUCCCAUCCGAACGCCGUGGUCCGCCCCGCUUCGCGCGCGCCCCAAAAUUUCGCAUCCCGCGGAAUCCGCGAGCAACAAAUCAGUCUGUCAGGCGCGGUGUUUCCGGCGAUCCGUCGCUCGGAGAUCGUCGAAGCCUGAAAGAUCACUCGACGCAAAAACAGAAUGGAUCAAGUUGACUGAAGGCAAUUUGUUUCCUGUCGACAAAGGGAUUCUUUGGUCCAGAACAGCGCACAACCGGAGCGCAAAGGUUAAUCGGAAACGACAUCAACUCCUUCUUCACUCGAAGCCUCGAUCCAUUCGGGGGCUAAUGAUGGGGUUGUGUACCUAGGGUAGGAUCAUGGACCUGAUCCAAGUAACUUACCCUAGGACAUCCUUAGAAGAGGUCGCCUUCCAGUCGAACAACGAGGAUUCACUCGACUGGCCUGAAGGACUCGACCACGAAGACUCACUCGACCACCAGGAGGUCAAGAGGCACUCUGCACUGCAACGGCCUGUAAUCAAGUAGACUUUAUGAUAGUAAAGGCACUUUAUGUGGGGCGUUACCAGUAACGCCCCAGACUUAACUCACCUUAAACCCUCUCCUGCGUGGGCUGGCUAGGGUCCUGGCGCACUCUAUAUAAGCCACCCUCCUCCACAGGCAGANNNNNNNNNNNNNNNNNNNNNNNNNNNNNNNNNNNNNNNNNNNNNNNNNNNNNNNNNNNNNNNNNNNNNNNNNNNNNNNNNNNNNNNNNNNNNNNNNNNNGUCUCCAUGCAUACCCCGGUUCUUACAUAACCGGUAGGGUAUUCGGACACACUCCGGACCAUCAGGUCCUGAGGUUGAAGCGAAAAGGUCGGCAACAACAAACGAUCUACAAUCCGGCUAGAAGGCAUUACACAUGUCAAUUAAAAAUUACAUAGUCACUUUGACUGAUUGUAUUCCUCUUCAAUACCAUCCAACAGGCUGUCUAACUUACAGUCCUACUGGGAAUACUUGGCGGCCAAUUCUACUUGGCCGUACACUAAGCUCAUAGGGAUCUCCUUCCCGUCAGGCCCCACAGGUCCGACCUCGGCCAUGUGGUUUGGGUCAGCCUUUGCGUACCGCGUCUUCACCAUGGCCUAGGCCUCCCUAGAGCCUUGACGGCAGGCUGAUAUCUUCCACAAUCGGAAGCGCCGCCGUGCUCCCUUUAGCUUCUCCGGCUAGAAGGCAUUAUGAAUGUCAAUUAAAUUACAUAGUCAUUUUGACUGGUUGAAUUCCUCUUCAAUACCAUCUAACAUGCUGUCUAAUUUACAGUCCUGCUGGGAAUACUUUGCGGCCAACUCUACUUGGCCAUAUACUAAGCUUACAAGGAUCUCCUUCCCAUCGGGCCCUACAGGACCGACCUCGGCCAUGUGGUUGGGGUCAGCCUUUGCGUACCGCGUCUUCACCAUGGCCCAGGCCUCCCUAGCGCCUUGACGGCAGGCUGAUAUCUUCCACAAUCGGAAGCGCCGCCGUGCUCCCUUUAGCUUCUCCGGAAGCUCUCCGAGACCUUCGGGCAUGGAGAUGGAUGGCCACAGGGCCUGGGCGACGCCUUGCAUCGCCUGCCGAACUCGAUCGAGUAGUUGCGAGAGCUCGGGAAGAAGGUCACCCAUAGAACCGGGCAUCUCCUCUGCAGGACGACCUGUUAGCACACCUACAGACAUUGCUCUGUUAGUCAACUUCCCCGCCGAACUUUCUUUCAAAGGUUCGUUCAAGCACUUACUAAAUAUGCCGCGCCGAAGCCGCUGAUUAUCCUUCACGGAGUCUGACAGCUGGGCACAAACAUCUUUCAUCUCGACGCCCAGCUUGGUGUUGGCAUCUUGGAGAUCGUUCUUCUCCCGCCUCACCUUUGUCAGCACCUUCUCACCAGCCUUUAGCUGGCGUAGGAGGUGUUGCCUUUCCAGAUUCAAUCCGGCGCCAUCUGCAAUUUCAUUUGUCAGAUUCGCACCAAAGCCGUGCUUCGCAAAAUACUUAUCUUUCGAAGUGUAUAUUACCAGAGGGGGUCUCCUUGGGCUCCCCUGCCGCGGCUAGUGUGGCCUCAAGUUGGGCUUUGCACUCUUCCAGCUCCUUGGACAGUAGGGAAUUCUUUUCUGUAAGAACCUGCAUCACAAAUGAUCCUUAAAUCAGUUAUUCUAACUGUUUCAAGUCUCGGGGGCUACUGGUAUAUACAUAUAAUUACCAGAAUUUUCUUACCCGUAUGUCUUUUACAUACUGCUCCGUGGCUCUGGCUAGACCAUUUUGAGCGGCACGGAGAUACGCAUCUCCCGAGUUGAAGGCAUCUAACGCCCCUUGGGAGAAACAAGCGUCGCGAAGAAUUGUCUAGUGACGCCUGUGGUUCAUGGCACUCUCCACCUUGGAAUUGGUGGCAGACAGCCUGUCCGCAUCCUCUGUCGGAGGAGCAUCCGGUGCACGCCUUGUGUUCAUUUACGCUUUCGGGUCAGGCAUUGGAACCUGGCUGGUGGAGGCGCGAUUGGCAACCUCUCCGGAUGUAGUCCAGCGAGGUCUCUUCGUCCUGAAGAUAGCACGAACAUUAAUAUUCCCUGAAGGAAUAACACCAGGGAAAAAGAGGGCGCACUAUACCUUUGCGCCGGUGUCUCAGUCCAGACUACAUUCCUUUUUACCCCACGGGGCCCUACGGCCCCUCGUUGGCUAGCCGCCGUAGGUUCGGCCUCCCACCUCGGAAACCUCUCCUGCAAAACACGGUCGUUGUCAGGAAAACUGAAAUGCGUGAGAAUGGAUUCCUUCUCAAGGGGAUGAGACUCCGCUCUCUGUUACCUGGGAGGCCGGAAUUAACCCUGGGUAAUCAGCCGUAAUGGCCACUGAGGUGUUGUCCUUGCUUAGCUGAUGAAACACCCCGUCGAUCAGCUCCACCGAUAUGUCCGGAUCCUCUUCGGAGUCCAGAUCGAGGGAUCGUUCUGGAUCCUCGGGCUGUGGGGGACGGCUGUUUAUAUCCUUUACUUCCUGACGCAGUUCCUGCGUUGAAGUCAUUAGACUACAUAUUUAAUCAUGGGAAUAUAAAACGGAUGGGCAAGCACAAUUGUCCACUUAUCCAACUCGGAGGGUUGUACAUAGUAAAUCCGCCCUGCGGGUUGACGCGGAGGAAUUCCUCCUCUUCUCCCUUGUACAAAGAGGAUAAGAUCUUUACUAGAGCGGCAGCUGAGGCUGGCCCCUUACGACCAUAACGGGUGGCGUCAUCCUCCCCGUUAAAAUCCCACAUGGGGUGGCCUCUAUAUUGAAGCAGCUGCACCCCCCACAUAAUGCAUGCGGCCAUGACUCCAAUCAUGGUUAGUCCGGAAUGAGCCAAUAGUCUUAUCCGGCCCAUCAGGCGAAGGACGUCCCUGCCGCCUCCUUUCUGAGAGAUCCGCGGACGCCAGCUUAGGUGUUUCUUUAAGGGAGCACUGUUGAAUUCGGGGAGACCUACCCGGAUAGGAUCCGGCAGUGGGACAUCAUCUAUAUAAAACCAUUCCGAAGGCCAGUCCUCGGAUGCCUUCUUUGGGGUUCCGGAUAGAUAUCCGGUCCCGGCGAUACGCCACACUUUGGCUCCGCCCACUUUAUAUAUAGACCCCUCUUGAGAGCGGGGCACCAGGCAGAAUAACCUCUUCCACAGCGCGAAAUGAGCCUCAACACCCAAGAAUAGCUCGCAAAGGGCGACGAAGCCCGCGAUAUGCAAUAUAGAGCCGGGCGUGAGAUUGUGCAGCUAGAGGCCGUAGAACUCCAGGAGCCCACGGAGAAACGGAUGAAUUGGAAAUCCAAGUCCUCUUAUUAGAUAAGGGACGAGGCACACCCGCUCUCCUUUGGAGGGAUUGGGGGUGCUCUCCGCUUGCUCUCCGCCAUUAUAGGUGGCGAGUCCGGCUCGGACUGGGACCAUAUAGGCCUGAGGGAGAAAUCCCUUGGCCUGAAGUGACACUAGCUCGCUGUGCNNNNNNNNNNNNNNNNNNNNNNNNNNNNNNNNNNNNNNNNNNNNNNNNNNNNNNNNNNNNNNNNNNNNNNNNNNNNNNNNNNNNNNNNNNNNNNNNNNNNGUCUCCAUGCAUACCCCGGUUCUUACAUAACCGGUAGGGUAUUCGGACACACUCCGGACCAUCAGGUCCUGAGGUUGAAGCGAAAAGGUCGGCAACAACAAACGAUCUACAAUCCGGCUAGAAGGCAUUACACAUGUCAAUUAAAAAUUACAUAGUCACUUUGACUGAUUGUAUUCCUCUUCAAUACCAUCCAACAGGCUGUCUAACUUACAGUCCUACUGGGAAUACUUGGCGGCCAAUUCUACUUGGCCGUACACUAAGCUCAUAGGGAUCUCCUUCCCGUCAGGCCCCACAGGUCCGACCUCGGCCAUGUGGUUUGGGUCAGCCUUUGCGUACCGCGUCUUCACCAUGGCCUAGGCCUCCCUAGAGCCUUGACGGCAGGCUGAUAUCUUCCACAAUCGGAAGCGCCGCCGUGCUCCCUUUAGCUUCUCCGGCUAGAAGGCAUUAUGAAUGUCAAUUAAAUUACAUAGUCAUUUUGACUGGUUGAAUUCCUCUUCAAUACCAUCUAACAUGCUGUCUAAUUUACAGUCCUGCUGGGAAUACUUUGCGGCCAACUCUACUUGGCCAUAUACUAAGCUUACAAGGAUCUCCUUCCCAUCGGGCCCUACAGGACCGACCUCGGCCAUGUGGUUGGGGUCAGCCUUUGCGUACCGCGUCUUCACCAUGGCCCAGGCCUCCCUAGCGCCUUGACGGCAGGCUGAUAUCUUCCACAAUCGGAAGCGCCGCCGUGCUCCCUUUAGCUUCUCCGGAAGCUCUCCGAGACCUUCGGGCAUGGAGAUGGAUGGCCACAGGGCCUGGGCGACGCCUUGCAUCGCCUGCCGAACUCGAUCGAGUAGUUGCGAGAGCUCGGGAAGAAGGUCACCCAUAGAACCGGGCAUCUCCUCUGCAGGACGACCUGUUAGCACACCUACAGACAUUGCUCUGUUAGUCAACUUCCCCGCCGAACUUUCUUUCAAAGGUUCGUUCAAGCACUUACUAAAUAUGCCGCGCCGAAGCCGCUGAUUAUCCUUCACGGAGUCUGACAGCUGGGCACAAACAUCUUUCAUCUCGACGCCCAGCUUGGUGUUGGCAUCUUGGAGAUCGUUCUUCUCCCGCCUCACCUUUGUCAGCACCUUCUCACCAGCCUUUAGCUGGCGUAGGAGGUGUUGCCUUUCCAGAUUCAAUCCGGCGCCAUCUGCAAUUUCAUUUGUCAGAUUCGCACCAAAGCCGUGCUUCGCAAAAUACUUAUCUUUCGAAGUGUAUAUUACCAGAGGGGGUCUCCUUGGGCUCCCCUGCCGCGGCUAGUGUGGCCUCAAGUUGGGCUUUGCACUCUUCCAGCUCCUUGGACAGUAGGGAAUUCUUUUCUGUAAGAACCUGCAUCACAAAUGAUCCUUAAAUCAGUUAUUCUAACUGUUUCAAGUCUCGGGGGCUACUGGUAUAUACAUAUAAUUACCAGAAUUUUCUUACCCGUAUGUCUUUUACAUACUGCUCCGUGGCUCUGGCUAGACCAUUUUGAGCGGCACGGAGAUACGCAUCUCCCGAGUUGAAGGCAUCUAACGCCCCUUGGGAGAAACAAGCGUCGCGAAGAAUUGUCUAGUGACGCCUGUGGUUCAUGGCACUCUCCACCUUGGAAUUGGUGGCAGACAGCCUGUCCGCAUCCUCUGUCGGAGGAGCAUCCGGUUCAUGCCUUGUGUUCAUUUACGCUUUCGGGUCAGGCAUUGGAACCUGGCUGGUGGAGGCGCGAUUGGCAACCUCUCCGGAUGUAGUCCAGCGAGGUCUCUUCGUCCUGAAGAUAGCACGAACAUUAAUAUUCCCUGAAGGAAUAACACCAGGGAAAAAGAGGGCGCACUAUACCUUUGCGCCGGUGUCUCAGUCCAGACUACAUUCCUUUUUACCCCACGGGGCCCUACGGCCCCUCGUUGGCUAGCCGCCGUAGGUUCGGCCUCCCACCUCGGAAACCUCUCCUGCAAAACAUGGUCGUUGUCAGGAAAACUGAAAUGCGUGAGAAUGGAUUCCUUCUCAAGGGGAUGAGACUCCGCUCUCUGUUACCUGGGAGGCCGGAAUUAACCCUGGGUAAUCAGCCGUAAUGGCCACUGAGGUGUUGUCCUUGCUUAGCUGAUGAAACACCCCGUCGAUCAGCUCCACCGAUAUGUCCGGAUCCUCUUCGGAGUCCAGAUCGAGGGAUCGUUCUGGAUCCUCGGGCUGUGGGGGACGGCUGUUUAUAUCCUUUACUUCCUGAUGCAGUUCCUGCGUUGAAGUCAUUAGACUACAUAUUUAAUCAUGGGAAUAUAAAACGGAUGGGCAAGCACAAUUGUCCACUUAUCCAACUCGGAGGGUUGUACAUAGUAAAUCCGCCCUGCGGGUUGACGCGGAGGAAUUCCUCCUCUUCUCCCUUGUACAAAGAGGAUAAGAUCUUUACUAGAGCGGCAGCUGAGGCUGGCCCCUUACGACCAUAACGGGUGGCGUCAUCCUCCCCGUUAAAAUCCCACAUGGGGUGGCCUCUAUAUUGAAGCAGCUGCACCCCCCACAUAAUGCAUGCGGCCAUGACUCCAAUCAUGGUUAGUCCGGAAUGAGCCAAUAGUCUUAUCCGGCCCAUCAGGCGAAGGACGUCCCUGCCGCCUCCUUUCUGAGAGAUCCGCGGACGCCAGCUUAGGUGUUUCUUUAAGGGAGCACUGUUGAAUUCGGGGAGACCUACCCGGAUAGGAUCCGGCAGUGGGACAUCAUCUAUAUAAAACCAUUCCGAAGGCCAGUCCUCGGAUGCCUUCUUUGGGGUUCCGGAUAGAUAUCCGGUCCCGGCGAUACGCCACACUUUGGCUCCGCCCACUUUAUAUAUAGACCCCUCUUGAGAGCGGGGCACCAGGCAGAAUAACCUCUUCCACAGCGCGAAAUGAGCCUCAACACCCAAGAAUAGCUCGCAAAGGGCGACGAAGCCCGCGAUAUGCAAUAUAGAGCCGGGCGUGAGAUUGUGCAGCUAGAGGCCGUAGAACUCCAGGAGCCCACGGAGAAACGGAUGAAUUGGAAAUCCAAGUCCUCUUAUUAGAUAAGGGACGAGGCACACCCGCUCUCCUUUGGAGGGAUUGGGGGUGCUCUCCGCUUGCUCUCCGCCAUUAUAGGUGGCGAGUCCGGCUCGGACUGGGACCAUAUAGGCCUGAGGGAGAAAUCCCUUGGCCUGAAGUGACACUAGCUCGCUGUGCNNNNNNNNNNNNNNNNNNNNNNNNNNNNNNNNNNNNNNNNNNNNNNNNNNNNNNNNNNNNNNNNNNNNNNNNNNNNNNNNNNNNNNNNNNNNNNNNNNNNACUGUAACAAGAGUUCAUAGGAUGGUGUGCAAUUCCUAUAACAAUCCCGAUAUAAAGAUGGUAAUACUCCAAGGUAGAACAGAACCAAAAGCUGGAUUGGCAUUUGAUCUGCGGAGCACAACUUCUUUGACCCAAUCCUGGAUAUGGAAGAGGUACUGGAGUUUGUUUCUCCUAGUCAUUCUGCGAUAGAAUGGCUUGACGGACCACAAGAGUUAUAGGCAUCGAUGAACGAAUGCAUGCAUACUCUUGACUAUCAAUUGAUAGACGAGGGUCAGAAUGCAACUAAAGAGGGACAACUCAAAGGAACAUACGAUUUUCUGAGUUGUGGAUGCAUGGUUUAGCAUGUCGAACGGAUUCAACAUAUUUCUUCCGGGCAAUCCAUGCGGAAGGUAAAACUGGCAGAGCCACAAUAUAUAAUGUAGAACCCAUCAAAAAUAAUCCUGUUGUGAUAUUUUAGUUCAACGAGGAACUUCUGCCAUAAGUAGUUCAUGGUAUUUGGAAGAAGAAGAUACAACGGACUUCAAGGACUAUCGGAAAGGUUACUAAUAUCCUAAAGGCACUAGCAAUUACUAUCAACAUGAAGUAGGUAGAGUGAAUCUCGGGUUCAAAACCCAGGAGUAGAAUACCUACUACUAAGUAGCAUCACGGGACGCUUUCGAGAAUGAUGGCCAGAAUCAUCACACUGGGAACACAAAUCAUGGCUAAUUACUAGGUGAUCCCCUAAACACCUAGGGUCAUAAUAGUAACUCCAACAUAAUGUCAAGGCAAUAGAAUACCUCAACUCAACAAUUGGUGUGAUUGAGCUGGCAUAAAGGAACAUCGAAACCAGAGGGAAAGGAUUUUGCAAAUGCAUCAGACUAUUUAGAAACCUGGAAUGACUCGGACAGCAUAACGGCUGUAAAUGCUCAGAAAGAUUUGAGACAUUCACAAAAAUGGUGGCAUAACCACUCAGAAGCACAAUAUCAAGGUUUCGAGAUCAACAGUUAACGUACGGAAGUAGAAGAAACUGAACUGAGACUUAAAUCCAACAAUCUUAUAAGUCUACUGAUUAGUAACACGUGAUCCUAAUAGAAAGAAGAGAUAGCCUAGUUCUUAAUCCCCGCAGGAAAGAUAAGAUGACUCAGAUCAGAAGGGCAUGAGGUAUAAGGAGUAAAAAGAGCCUUACGUUCCAUCCCACAAUCAAUUCCCUUAUAUAACUAAAGAAUUUCUAGACUCAACUUCGACCGGUUUGGCUUGGUAAUCCUACAGGCAGUCAAGCUCUGAUACCAACGCUGUCAGGACCCCGACUCAAUGUCACAUCGAUCUAGCCGGUAACACCUCAUAUCACUUUGCGGCCUCACGCACGGUAUCCCCACGGGUGUCGCCUUACCUUUGCCCGGGAGCGUUUGCGCAUUUUGGCUCACGUAUAUGAUAGUGUCGCUAGCAUCCAUAUGAUAAAGAGCCCGGGCUGACAUGGCUAGUCGUAAACCCUAAGUGGCACAGACUUACAGGGACAGGCAUCCAUGACCCAGCAUCGAACGUGUCGGUCAUCAGCAAGUGGGUCCGGGCUGUAGCACUGGGCUAGCAGGACUCCGGUAAACCGGGCUGUAGCGGGCUAACAGGACUCCGGUACUCAAUGCGUGACAUUUCCCCGAAGGGACAGACACAGGAAUGAAGAAGGACACAUGCCGGCCAGCCUAAGUGUUCCAGAGCAGUAGCAAGCUACCAUGGCUCAGCGGUAACACUAGGAGACAUUUCCCGGUAAGAGAGGCUACUAAAGAUAAACAACUAGGUAGUCAGAUCCCACACAUACCAAGCAUUUCAAUAACAUACACACAAUAUGCUCGAUAUGUGCAAUACAACAUGGCAUCACAAAAUGACUCUACGACUCAAGUAGUCUAUUCAAUAGGCUCCGAGGAGCGAGAUAUUACAACAGGGGUCUCAUGACCCAACACUCAGAGCAUACAAGUCAAAGCACAAGCGGAAGCUAUCAUGUCUGGGUACAGACAUCUAUAAAUGAAAAAGGCUGAGAAGCCUGACUAUCUAUCAUAUCCUGCCGAGGGCACAAGAUCGUAGCUGAGGUAUCAAGCUAAACGUCGAAGUCCACGUGGAACUACUAGUGAGACUGAAGUCUCUCUGCAAAACAUAAAAUAGGCAAACGUGAGUACAAAUGUACCCAGCAAGACUUACAUCAGAUCUAUCUACACAUGCAUCAUUAUCAACAAGGGGAUGGUGGAGUUUGACUGCAGCAAGCCAGCUUUGACUCGGUGGCUAUCCUGAACUACGACUGCAAGCGACUCUUUUGAGGUGGCGCACACGAGUCCACAUAUUCACCAUAUCAAUACACCACUAUGGAUCCGCUCCCGUCUCCCUACGAGAACGCCAUCCAUAGCACUCACGCUUAUCUUGCGCAUUUUAAAGUAUCCACUUUCACUUGUCUAUGAACUGAUAUAAGCAACCCAGAAGUCCUUUUCCGCGGACACGGCUAUUCGAAUAGAUGAUGUUAACCCUGCAGGGGUGUACUUCUUCAUACAUGUUUCCACCACUUAGUGUCUGCACACGACAUGUGCUCGGCAGACUUCAAGCGAAAGCCGACAUGGGUGUAGACCACGACCUACCUAAACACUCAAGUCUCUAGUCCAGGUUUAUCGCCUAUUCGGGUUCCAUCCAUGAGGAGAUCCGGCCGGAGUUUCGCUCACAGCCCCAAACGAUGUGAACAGUGUUCCCGAGAUACCAAACGGGCAUCCGGUACACCGUGCCACGUACCUACCGCAUCACAGCCCACCCCUACGGUCAGCGCUGUCCACGGCCUCCAGUAAGCUACAAACACCAGAAACUACUUGCAACUCCUGGACAGAGGACUAGGGUGAAUAAGAAGUCGAGCGGGGUCAUAUUUCAGGGCCCAAUGUAUGGUAGUAGCUGAAUCAUGGAUCACAAACACAGAACUCAGUUCCUGAGGACGGCUGCAAUGAGACAACCCACCAUGUACUCCUACAUGGCCUCUCACCGCUACCUUUACCAAAUCGUGUUCACACACUUAGCUCACACACAGUAGGACAUGUUCACACGCCUCUGAUUCAUCCCCGAUGAAUCAGACCUGACUCAACUCUAAGCAGUAGCAGGCAUGACAAACAAGCAUGAAUGAGUAGGCACAACAGGGCUCAAACAAUUCCUACUCAUACUAGUGGGUUUCNNNNNNNNNNNNNNNNNNNNNNNNNNNNNNNNNNNNNNNNNNNNNNNNNNNNNNNNNNNNNNNNNNNNNNNNNNNNNNNNNNNNNNNNNNNNNNNNNNNNCCCUCUACGCGGAUUGCCCUUCGUGCGUCUAUGGCUGUGGCCGGCGGCCUCCGGGGGCUAGCAUGCCGCCAAAUCUUGCGCCAGCGGCCUCUCACAAGUCUGGAAGUGUUGUCGCGACUUCAAACGCCCGGCACGCGUGUCCGGGGUGUGCCCCCCUCACGAAUGGCGCUGCCGCCGGCACCUGGAGGGGGAAACAGACGCGUGGGGUCUACACGGAGGGGAUCUUGCUGUGGGUCUUCCCUGGAUGUUGCUCCAAUGUGUUCCUAUGGGCUGACCUAACACAACCAGGUGGGGAGGUCCACUAGUCAAAGCCCGUCCGUGCAAAGUCAAAGGGGUAGAUCCCGUGGUCAAACGCUACAGGGUUAGGCGGGACUGGGGCACUGGGGGGGGGGGUAGCAAUGCCACCGGAGCAUCGCACCGGGCCCUCAUACAUGCGGGGUGGUGUGGUGGCAUGUCCGAAGAGGUGGGACGCGUCUCCAGGGCGUGGCCCCCCUCACGGACGGCGAUGACACAGUAGUAGACGUUCUGUGGUAACGAUGGGGCGUCAAUAUUACUAAAUACUCGGAGCGCAAUAAAAUCAUGAUUUUUUUGCACGACGUGGGCACAUGUGCUAUAGGAACGAUGGUAUUUUUUUCAUAAUUUUUGGUGAUGGAGAAGUAUCCGAAAAAUUCCCUCUACGCGGAUUGCCCUUCGCGCGUCUAUGGCUGUGGCCGGCGGCCUCCGGGGGCUAGCAUGCCGCCAAAUCUUGCGCCAGCGGCCUCUCACAAGUCUGGAAGUGUUGUCGCGGUUGCAAACGCCCGGCACGCGUGUCCGGGGUGUGCCCCCCUCACGAACGGCGCUGCCGCCGGCAUCUGGAGGGGGGAAACGGACGCGUGGGGUCUACACGGAGGGGAUCUUGCUGUGGGUCUUCCCCGGAUGUUGCUCCAAUGUGUUCCUAUGGGCUGACCUAACACAACCGGGUGGGGAGGUCCAUUGGUCAAAGCCCGUCCGUGCAAAGUCAAAGGGGUAGAUCCUGUGGUCAAAUGCUACAGGGUUAGGCGAGACGGGGGCACUGGGGGGUAGCAAUGCCACCGGAGUGUCGCACCGGGCCCUCAUACAUGCGGAGUGGUGUGGUGGCAUGUCCGAAGAGGCGGGACGCGUCUCCGGGGCGUGGCCCCCCUCACGGACGGCGAUGACAUGGUAGUAGACGUUCUGCGGUAACGAUGCAGCGUCAAUAUUACUAAAUACUUGGAGCGCGAUAAAAUAAUGAUUUUUUUUUGCACCACGUGGCACAUGUGCUAUAGGAACGAUGGUAUUUUUUCAUAAUUUUUGGUGAUGGAGAAGUAUCCGAAAAAUUCCCUCUACGCGGAUUCCCCUUCGCGCGUCUACGGCUGUGGCCGGCGCCCUCCGGGGGCUAGCAUGCAGCCAAAUCUUGCGCCAGCGGCCUCUCACAAGUCUGGAAGUGUUGUCGCGGUUGCAAACGCUCGGCACGCGUGUCCGGGGUGUGCCCCCCUCACGAACGGCGCUGCCGCCGGCACCUGGAGGGGGGAGACGGACGCGUGAGGCCUACACGGAGGGGAUCUUGCUGUGGGACUUCCCUGGAUGUUGCUCCAAAGUGUUCCUAUGGGCAGACCUAACACAACCGGGGGGGAGGUCCAUUGGUCAAAGCCCGUCCGUGCAAAGUCAAAUGGGUAGAUCCCGUUGUCAAACGCUACAGGGUUAGGCGGGACGGGGGCACUGGGGGUAGCAAUGCCACCGGAGCGUCGCACCGGGCCCUCAUACAUGCGGGGUGGUGUGGUGGCAUGUCCGAAGAGGCGGGACGCGUCUCCGGGGCGUGGCCCCCCUCACGGACGGCGAUGACACGGUAGUAGACGUUCUAUGGUAACGAUGCGGCGUCAACAUUACUAAAUACUCGGAGCACGAUAAAAUCAUGAUUUUUUUUGCACGACGUUGGCACAUGUGCUAUAGGAACGAUGGUAUUGUUUCAUAAUUUUUGGUGAUGGAGAAGUAUCCGAAAAAUUCCCUCUACGCGGAUUGCCCUUCGCGCGUCUACGGCUGUGGCCGGCGGCCUCCGGGGGCUAGCAUGCCGCCAAAUCUUGCGUCGGCGGCCUCUCACAAUUCUGGAAGUGUUGUCGCAGUUGCAAACGCCUGGCACGCGUGUCCGGGGUGUGCCCCCCUCACGAACGGCGCUGCCGCCGGCACCUGGAGGGGGGAAACGGACGCGUGGGGUCUACACGGAGGGGAUCUUGCUGUGGGUCUUCCCCGGAUGUUGCUCCAAUGUGUUCCUAUGGGCUGACCUAACACAACCGGGUGGGGAGGUCCACUGGUCAAAGCCCGUCCGUGCAAAGUCAAAGGGGUAGAUCCCGUGGUCAAACGCUACAGGGUUAGGCGGGACGGGGGCACUGGGGGGUAGCAAUGCCACCGGAGCAUCGCACCGGGCCCUCAUACAUGCGGGGUGGUGUGGUGGCAUGUCCGAAGAGGCGGGACGCGUCUCCGGGGCGUGGCCCCCCUCACGGACGGCGAUGACACGGUAGUAGACGUUCUGCGGUAACGAUGCGGCGUCAAUAUUACUAAAUACUCGGAGCGCGAUAAAAUCAUGAUUUUUUUUGCAUGCCGUGGGCACAUGUGCUAUAGGAACGAUGGUAUUUUUCCAUAAUUUUUGAUGAUGGAGAAGUAUCCGAAAAAUUCCCUCUACGUGGAUUGCCCUUCGCGCGUCUACGGCUGUGGCCGGCGGCCUCCGGGGGCUAGCAUGACGCCAAAUCUUGCGCCGGCGGCCUCUCACAAGUCUGGAAGUGUUGUCGCGGUUGCAAACACCCGGCACGCGUGUCUGGGGUGUGCCCCCCUCACGAACGGCGCUGCCGCCGGCACCUGGAGGGGGGAAACGGACGCGUGGGGUCUACACGGAGGGGAUCUUGCUGUGGGACUUCCCCGGAUGUUGCUCCAAAGUGUUCCUAUGGGCUGACCUAACACAACCGGGUGGGGAGGUCCAUUGGUCAAAGCCCGCCCGUGCAAAGUCAAAGGGGUAGAUCCCGUGGUCAAACGCUACAGGGUUAGGCGGGACGGGGGCACUGGGGGUAGCAAUGCCACCGGAGCGUCGCACCGGGCCCUCAUACAUGCGGUGUGGUGUGGUGGCAUGUCCGAAGAGGCGGGACGCAUCUCCGGGGCGUGGCCGCCCUCACGGACGGUGAUGACANNNNNNNNNNNNNNNNNNNNNNNNNNNNNNNNNNNNNNNNNNNNNNNNNNNNNNNNNNNNNNNNNNNNNNNNNNNNNNNNNNNNNNNNNNNNNNNNNNNNCACCCCAGGGUUAGUUAAUCGUGGAAAUCACUCCGGGACCCCAAAACAAUGACUAAUAGUCCAUGAAACGGGCCAGACUCGCCCAAAAUAGUGAGUGUUGAUGACCGACACGUAAGCACACAUCAGAGUUCAACAACUACGGAAAUCGUUUCGGGACCCCAAAACGAUGAGUAAUAGUCCAUGAAACGGGCCAGAAUUGACAAAAACCAGAAGUGUUGAUGACCAAAACGAAAACGCACCUGGGGUUCGUCAAUCGUGAAAUCCCCGCGGGACCCAAAAACUGAGUAAUAGUCCAAGAAACGGGCAAGAAUCGACCAAUCUGUGAGUCUUGACGACCAACACGUAAUCAUACCUUGGGGUUCGACAACCAUGGAAAUCGCUUUGGGACCACAAAACGUUGAGUAAUAGUCCACGAAACGGGUCAGAAUCGGCAAAAACCGUGAGUGUUGAUGACCGACACGUAAACACGCCCUGGGGUUCGUUAAUGUGGAAAUCACUCCGGGACGCCAAAACAGUGAGUAAUAGUCCACGAAAUGGGCAAGAAUCAUCCAAAACUGUGAGUGUUGAUGACCGGCAUGUUAACGCACCCCAGGGUUCGUUAAUGGUGGAAAUCACUCCGGGACGCCAAAACUGUGAACAAUAGUCCAUGAUCCGGCCAGAAUCGGCCAAAACUAUGAAUAUUGAUGACCAACNNNNNNNNNNACCCCAGGGUUCGUUAAUGGUGGAAAUCACUCCGGGACGCCAAAACAGUGAGUAAUAGUCCAUGAACCGGGCCAGAAUCGGCCAAAACUGUGAAUAUUGAUGACCGACACGAAAGCGCACCCCGGGGUUCGUUAAUCGUUGAAAUCACUUCAGGACCCGCAAACAGUGAGUAAUACUCCAUGAAAUGGGCCAGAAUCAGCCAAAACUAUGAGUGUUGACGACCGACACGUAAGCGCACCCCGGGGUUCGUUAAUUAUGGAAAUCACUUCGGGAGCCCAAAACAAUGUGUAAUAGUCCACGAAACGGGCCAGAAUCGGCCAAAACUAUGAGUGCUGAUGACCGAUACGUAAGCGCACCCCAGGGUUUCUUAAUCGUGGAAAUCACUCCGGGACCCCAAAACAGUGAUUAAUAGUCCAUGAAACGGGCCAGAAUCGCCCAAAAUAGUGAGUCUUGAUGACCGACACGUAAGCACACCUCAGAGUUCAACAACUAUGGAAAUUGUUUUGGGACCCCAAAACGAUGAGUAAUAGUCCAUGAAACGGGCCAGAAUUGACAAAAACCGCGAGUGUUGAUGACCGAAACGAAAACGCACCUGGGGUUCGUCAAUCGUGAAAUCCCCGCGGAACCCAAAAACUGAGUAAUAGUCCAAGAAACGGGCCAGAAUCGACCAAACUGUGAGUCUUGACGACCAACACGUAAUCAUACCUUAGGGUUCGACAACCAUGGAAAUCGCUUUGGGACCACAAAACGUUGAGUAAUAGUCCACGAAACGGGUCAGAAUCGGCAAAAACCGUGAGUGUUGAUGACCGACAUGUAAACACGCCCUGGGGUUCGUUAAUGGUGGAAAUCACUCCGGGACACCUAAACAGUGAGUAAUAGUCCAUGAAAUGGGCAAGAAUCGGCCAAAACUGUGAGUGUUGAUAACCGACAUGUUAACGCACACCAGGGUUCGGUAAUGGUGGAAAUCACUCCAGGACGCCAAAACUGUGAGCAAUAGUCCAUGAUCCGGCCAGAAUCGGCCAAAACUAUGAAUAUUGAUGACCAACACGUAGGCGCACCCCGGGGUUCGUUAAUCGUUGAAAUCACUUCAGGACCCAAAAACAGUGAGUAAGUCCAUGAAACGGGCCAGAAUCAGCCAAAACUAUGAGUGUUGAUGACCGACACGUAAGUGCACCCCGGGGUUCGUUAAUCGUGGAAAUCACUGCGGGAGCCCAAAACAGUGUGUAAUAGUCCACGAAACGAGCCAGUAUCGGCCAAAACUAUGAGUGUUGACGACCGACAUGUAAGCNNNNNNNNNNAGAAUCGACCAAUCUGUGAGUCUUGACGACCAACACGUAAUCAUACCUUGGGGUUCGACAACCAUGGAAAUCGCUUUGGGACCACAAAACGUUGAGUAAUAGUCCACGAAACGGGUCAGAAUCGGCAAAAACCGUGAGUGUUGAUGACCGACACGUAAACACGCCCUGGGGUUCGUUAAUGUGGAAAUCACUCCGGGACGCCAAAACAGUGAGUAAUAGUCCACGAAAUGGGCAAGAAUCAUCCAAAACUGUGAGUGUUGAUGACCGGCAUGUUAACGCACCCCAGGGUUCGUUAAUGGUGGAAAUCACUCCGGGACGCCAAAACUGUGAACAAUAGUCCAUGAUCCGGCCAGAAUCGGCCAAAACUAUGAAUAUUGAUGACCAACACGUAGGCGCACCCUGGGGUUCAUUAAUCGUUGAAAUCACUUCAGGACCCGAAAACAGUGAGUAAGUCCAUGAAACGGGCCAGAAUCAGCCAAAACUGUGAGUGUUGAUGACCGACACGUAAGUGCACCCCGGGGUUCGUUAAUCGUGGAAAUCACUUCGGGAGCCCAAAACAGUGUGUAAUAGUCCACGAAACGAGCCAGCAUCGGCCAAAACUAUGAGUGUUGACGACCGACAUGUAAGCGCACCACGAGGUUAGUUAAUCGUGGAAAUCACUCCGGGACCCCAAAACAGUGAUUAAUAGUCCAUGAAACGGGCCAGAAUCGCCGAAAACAGUGAGUGUUGAUGACCGACACGUAAGCACACCUAUGAGUUCAACAACUACAAGAAUCGCUUUGGGACCACAAAACGAUGAGUAAUAGUCCACGAAACGGGUCAAAAUCGACAAAAACCGCAAGUGUUGAUGACCAACACGUAAACACGCCCCGGGGUUCGUUAAUGUUGGAAAUCACACAGGGAUGCCAAAACAGUGAGUAAUAGUCUAUGAACCGGGCCUGAAUCGGCCAAAACUAUGAGUGUUGAUGACCGACACAUAAGCGCACCCCGGGGUUCAUUAAUCAUGGAAAUCACUCCGGGACCCCAAAACGGUGAGUAAUACUCCACGAAAUGGGCAACAGUCGACAAAAACCGUGAGUGUUGAUGACCGACACGUUAACGCACCCCAGGGUUCGUUAAUGGUGGAAAUCACUCCGGGACGCCAAAACAGUGAGUAAUAGUCCAUGAACCGGNNNNNNNNNNNNNNNNNNNNNNNNNNNNNNNNNNNNNNNNNNNNNNNNNNNNNNNNNNNNNNNNNNNNNNNNNNNNNNNNNNNNNNNNNNNNNNNNNNNNUAUUUGUUUCCCACCCAAGAUGAACAAUAUAGGCAUACCCUAGGUGAACCAGAUAUUAGACAGACAGACUAUUCAUUGUUGCCUCGAUAUGUGCCCCACAACUAAUUUAGAACUCAAGUUUGAAUAUUAAUUUGAACCUCACUCAAGUUAGAAUAUUAUUCUGCCACUAAUGCACUUGGUCUUGUUUUCAUGCAUAGGAUUUUGAAAAGUAGGUCCAGGUGGAUGUUUUGCUUCAUUCCUUUCAACCAAAUGCAGGAAUAAUUGAAUAGUAGAGUGCCAUUGGAAAAUUCCCUAUUGCUAUGUUUUUCCGUUGAACAAAAAUAGCCCCAAUGGAUCGACAUGAAUGUAUAGUAAUAAGUGAUGCAACAAGUGUACAACCUCUUUGCAGUAGCCGUGUAGACCUCAGGAUCAUUGGGUUGGUUGCUGAAGCAGUUGAGGCAGAGGUGGCUAUCGGAGGUGUGGAGGAAGAUCUGAGGAAUCUGUAGACAGCGUCCAGGGCACUGCUCUGUUGUGAUGGAUCAUUAUGUCGUUGGAGCAGCUCCGGUGAGCCGUAAGACGUCAAGGCUGAAGCAACACAAGACAGACAUCGUCAAUCUCAGGUGGGAUUCUAAUAGCAUCUCCAAUAGAUGAUGUAAAAUUGAUGUAAAAUUUACAUCACCAAAAACCACCUGACUACAAUAGAUGAGGUAAAAACUGUUGACUCUGAACUUAACUAUCCAAACUGAAAUUUACUGUGGAAUCUGAAUGUUACUAUCGAAACUGAACGCAAUGGUAGCAGAGAGGCACUUGACAUGUAGUUUAGGGAGGGCCUGCAGUUCAUCUUCAACCUGCACCCCCCUGAGCCGCCAGUCACCACCGGCCGAACCGCCGGCCCCAGCGCCGCCUUGCCGCCCCAAAAUAACUCCCCAUCGCCGCCUCGGCCAGCCCUCUAGGCCCCCCGCCCCACCCUGAACCCCAAGAUAGAUAGUGGGGUACCUCUCCAGCGAGCCCUCGUCCCCGCUGCGGGUGGUUCUUCCUUAACUCCCUGAAUAUUGACUGACCCAAAAGUCGAUUCAGUCGACUCAAGUGUGGCUAAAUCGGAGCAGAGCAGCAGCACGAGCAAGGGGGAGAGCUGCAGCAGCAACGCGAGCGAGCGAGAGCCGGAGCAGCAGCAGCUGGGUGAGCGAGCGAUCGAGCGAGAGCCGGAGCAGUAGCAGCAGCGCGAGCAAGCGAGCGAGAGCCGGAGCAGCAGCAGCAGCAGAUCCGGCUGGUAUGGACGCCGCCGCCGAAGGGUCCUCGCACUGGGGGAGAGCCGCCAUGGAGAUGUCGCCCGCGGCAUCGGCUUCAAGGUAGCCGCUCCAUGGGGGUGCACGAUGGAGCACCGUCGGCGCCUGGAGGUCGAGUUAAGGAGAAGGUGCGAUGCGAUGAGUGUAAAACCUCUUUGGUGGCGCCGAGUAGGCCUCGGCUUCGUCCGAGGAAUCGGUGAGUAUGCUGCGGUUCCGGUGGAGCAGGUUAAGGCAGCGCUGCGGGGAUGGAGCAACCGCGAUAGACGAGACAAUCGUCAGAGCAGCUCCUUGGAGGUGGAGGACGGGGCGGCGAAGCGGUGGGACAACGAUAUGGACGAUGGAUCCUCAUCCGGGGAGGUGGACGAGGGACGUCGAGCUAUUGCGGUGGACGACGUCGUCAGGGAAGAAGCUCCGGCUGGGCAGCGGUGAGGUGGCGGACGGAGGAGGGUGGGGUUUCGCUGCUGGAGCAGAGAGGUUAUGGCGGCCUGGGAUUUCGAAUGGCGAAAAGGGGGCGAUGGGAGGGGUGAAGCAUGACUUAGGGACGCGCUUGUCCAAAAUGUAGGGUGUGUUACGAAAGUACCCCCCACCAAUUUGAACUAGCGGCCCUUUUGGCUCAGGGUUAGAAGGGGGAUUUCGCGUGUCGGGAUUUGGCAGCUGGAGGGAGUUUUCGCGCGCGUUGUAAUUUUGGGAUAGCAAGGCGCGGGUUGUGAAGGCGCUAGUUUUGGGAGCACGAUAUCUGAAUUUUCGGGAUAUAACAAGGCGCGGGUUGAAUUUUAGGGACAAGCCUAACGUGUAGUAAUAUUGUACUUGUACGUUCCAAAUCAAUUCGCACUUCCCUCAACCAAAAAGAAAAUGAAAAAAUUUAAACUAUUCACACCACACAAAGAGAGUGUCUUGCGCCAUUUUACUAUACAAAUGCUAUUCAAAGCUACUCCCUCCUUCCAUCUAUAUAGGGCCUAAUGCGUUUUUCGAUGCUAACUCUGACCAAAUAUUAGAGCAAUAAUAUAUGACAUGCAACUUACACAAAGCACAUCGUUAAAUUCGUCUGUGAAAGGUUCUUUCAAUGAUAUAGUUUUCACACAUUGUGCAUGUCAUGUACUAUUAAUCUUGUCAAUAAUCAAAGGCGGUCUUUAAAAACUCAUUACGCCCUAUACAGAUGGAAGGAGAGAGUAUGAAUCCAUGUUAUGUCCAAUUAAAAAAAUUCGCUUGAUGUAUAAUGCAUGUAACCUACUCAUACCAACAUUUUAGUGCAUUCCAAAUGUCUAUACUACCGCUCCAAUUCGAACUAAAUUUGAAUUUGUUUCUCUAUUUCAAUUAGAAUCUACAAUCAUGAUUGUUGCCAACUUCAACCAUCAUUCGUGUAUUACCUUAAUAACACACCACAUGAUUACUAUAGAGAUAGAUAUGAACUAUGUGUACUACAUGAACUAGAAUUCUAUUUUUUGAAUACACUUGAUGUUGAUUCCAAAUAAUAGUACAUUUGAUGUACUAACUAUAUAUUCAUAAUCUAAACCAUGUUCCAUACGUACACCGUGUUUAUCACACAAAGUAUAGUGCCCCGCCCCCUACAUUAUGACAAGUAUUUAGACCUGAGCUGCAAAAGCCACACAUUAGCCCAAAUUAUAAUCAAUGUUCUAUAUAUUAUACGUAGUACUAGCAAGAUGCCCAUGCGUUCCACAGAAUAUCAACAUGAUCAAGGGGCCUAAUUUGCAAAUAUGGAGAGGGGUGUGGGUAUCUUUUUUCAAAAUUGCCAUAGUUUCCUUCCUAUCCGCCAGAUAUAAAUCGGACGGCCCAUAUUGCAGGAUGGCAGUCACACCAUCAUCAACAACUCCAUUUUUAUAAGAAGUAGAGAUAAAAUAUAUUAUAUGUAGUAUAACAUGUUCAUAACCACACUAUGUGUAUCACCNNNNNNNNNNNNNNNNNNNNNNNNNNNNNNNNNNNNNNNNNNNNNNNNNNNNNNNNNNNNNNNNNNNNNNNNNNNNNNNNNNNNNNNNNNNNNNNNNNNNAGACCGCCCAGCCGACUGCCCCGGCGCCUGACACCGCCAUCUCCUCCGAUCCUCCAAUCCCAGAUGCCGCCUCCUAGGCUGCCUUUUUCGCCUCUGUUUGUCUGUCUUAAUAAUCUUUUGAAAACUUUUUUAGACUCGAACAAUUCCACCCGCGGGGUGUAUCUUGAACUUCUAUUCGAAGAUUCGGCCAAGGGCCUAUGUAAAUAUUAAUCUGCUUUCCAUAUUUCCUUGCUUACUGCUCUUUAGGCUUUUCCUUUUGCCGCCUUCCUUUAGUCGCUGCCUUGUCAGUCGAGCAGCCGCUCUGUGGACUGUCGCUGGGUCAACUGCUUGGCUACUUCGGGAAGGCAAGGACUUGGCCGUUUAGAGUUUUUUUUAGCAAGUCGGAUAGAAAGCGACAUGCCGACUGCCCAAGAGUCGGCCGUCCUUAAUGGAGGCUAAUAAAGACGGUGAGCCGGCUACUCAUGAGUCGGCCUUCCGCUUCAGAAAUGCUGGAGGCCGUCUUAUGCAAUGUUCGUGCUUUAGGUCCUUAGCCAUUUUUCGUGUGGGUGCCCGUUCUUCCUCACUCCUGCCUGCCUCACAGUCGCUCUGCGAGCUGCGGCUUUGCCAGGAGGCGGAUUGGGCACCGCACACUACUUGUCUGACUAUGGGAAGCUUCUCAUAGCGCAAGGCGGCGAGUCCCCGGGCCGACUAGUCAGGCCCAGUGCCAAGCGGCUUGUAAUGAAAGUAAUGUACUCGGAGGCAUAAUUCUUAUCGUACUGGGUCAACUUAAGAUAAAAAUGACUAGUGUCAUGACAUGCCAUCCAAAUGCACUCAUGUAUCAUGCCUCACUAAUCAUCAGAAUCAUACCGGGUCAACUUAUAUCAAGCACUAAACAGUUCAGAACCUCAUGGCAUUUUUCUGGUCAUGUUUAUGCAGCAACUAAUCAUGGCAAUAACUUAGCAUAAUCAUUUUCUUACUCAAGAAAAUAUUAUUCAAACUAGUCCAUUUUCAAUAGCCAAUUAUUACUCCAAAGACUAUCAUCACAUAUAAUAACUUAACUCUAGCUUAGUUAACUCCUAACUUUCUGUCAAACAACAUAUCCACCUAAAUAAGCUUGCAACAGAAUCAAAAUAAUUAUUUAACUAGGUGAUUUAAAUGCAUGAACUAAUUAACCAUUAAAGUUGAAAAUAAAUCACAAAUAUUGCAAUGGCAUCAUGAAAAUGUUGCUGUGGCUUGCCUUAGUGCAGAUGAGCAUCACACUCUCCCUGGUGAUCCUCAAGACAAGCUCCACCUUCUAAAAACAGUUAUAAACACAAAAGGAAAACAGCAAGAACCCUUCUGAAAUUUGCCAGAAAAUCUAGGCAGCAAGGAAAAAUCCCAUCUUUGGUGUGCUACUAGAUAUUUGCAUACAGAAACCAAUGCAAAAAGAAUCAAUUCAUUUGGACUUAUUGUUAAAAAGUUGUGGUUGUUUGAAGUGUUCUGUAAAUUUUGAAUUUAAAUAAACAUACCUAGGGGGGACGUCGAAGGCGUAAACCCGCGGGCGCCUCCACUCCUACCGCUUUGGGCGCGUACAGAGUGGCUGACUGGCGGGCCCCGCUAGUCAAGUGAGGGGGAGGAGGAGAAGGAGACUAAGGGCGGCGGGGCUUCGCCAGAGCACAUGUCGACGAGGAGAGCUCCUUGGCCAAAACUAGAGGGAGGGAUCGAAAGAGGGGACGGAGGCGCACCUGCCCAUACCCAUAGGUUAGCUUGGGGUGGUCGGACGUCGUCGGAAACGGCCUCUCUAGCGGCGAUAGAUGGCAGCAGUCGCCAGAGUUGAAGCGACGGCGACUGGAGGCGGCACCAGGGGCUCCAACCGAGCGGAACGGCACCACCGAGGCCCGGCGGAGACCCUGGAAGGGUUGCCUGAGCUUGGGAGGGGCUGGAGUGGUGCAGAUGGACAGAGGGGAUCGCCGGCGAGCUCGAGGUCGGGGACGGUGGCCCGAGGCCUGCCGGGCCGGGCCACGGCUUUCUACAGGUUCAUGGAGUGUGUGUGAGGGUUGGAUGAGGCUCGAGGAGGCUGGGGAGGGCUCUAUUUAUAGCCGAGCGAUGGGAGGUGCUCGGGCUCGGCCGGAGGACACCUGGACGCUGCAGUGGGAAGGCGGCGCAGCUCACAUGGGAACUGUGGGCGCACGGAGAUGAGCAUAGGAGCGAGGAGAAGGCGACCAACACAGUGCACGGUGCACUGUUGGGUUGGCCGGACCGCGCCCGUGCUCACUGCGGCGAGCUCUGGCAUCGGCAAGCUCCAAGGUGAAGUAAAUGGCAUCGGGAUGGUGAUGGUGGGCGGGUUUGGCAAUGUUUGGCAGGUGAUGGAAGCGAUCAAGCGAGCAACAGAGGCUCGGACGCGAUGCAGAGGGGGCCGUCUGCAUGCCAUCACGCUUGGUCGAACACGGUCACCGCGUGAACUCUGACCUUAGGCCGACCUAAGCCUAAACUUCAUGUCUAGCGUGUUGUUCGUGGUAGAUAUAGGAGUUACCACCGUUAGAUUUGAGCUCAGGUGCAGUGAACAAGAUUUUUACUUCACUGCAAGUUACUAUACACUAACUUUGAGAGGUUGCUGUGGUUAAACAGCUGGGAGUUGGGAGUUGUGCUUUGGUGUGUAGCAGUGAGUUAGGAGGGUAGUGAUGCACAACAAAAUGCAGCACCAAUGGAGCAAGUAAAAUGGUAGUUGCUGUAGAAACCACCAUUUCUGGCCAGAACAGAAAAUAUUUUCUAUAGCAAAAGUAUUCUAAAAGUGGUGUGAUAUUUUUGCUCAGGGAGGUGACCUAUGGUUCAAAGAAUUUUUGAGAAUUUUCUCAGAUUUUUGUGAGCAAGUAAAAUAGGGGUGGCUUUGGAGCACAAGUUUCUGUUUAGGGUUUUUAAGAUGAAAAUGAAUAUUUUUCAUUAAAGAAAAAUAUCCAUGAAAUUAUUUUGAGGUAGAACAGAGAGGAAAUGAUGGUUUGGAGGAGGAGCGAGCCACUUGGGUGAAAGCCAAGGUGAUUCCCAAGUGUUUUAAGUCCAACUGAAAUGACUCAAAUUCAAAAUUGAAAUCAGAACUCAAUUGAAAACCAGAAGAGAAAAGAGGCCAAAAACUAGGCUGUCACAAACCUCCCCCACUUAGGAUGAAUCUCGUCCUCGAGAUUCGGUUGCUCGGGAAAGCAAUUAUGGAUAGUUUGCNNNNNNNNNNNNNNNNNNNNNNNNNNNNNNNNNNNNNNNNNNNNNNNNNNNNNNNNNNNNNNNNNNNNNNNNNNNNNNNNNNNNNNNNNNNNNNNNNNNNGUCGUUGAUGAUGAUCGAAGAAGCCAUCGAGCCUAUCGGUGAUGACACAGAGGAACUCUCAAUGAAAGCGCCAAUGUCGGUGUCAAAACCGGCGGAUCUCGGGUAGGGGGUCCCGAACUGUGCGUCUAGGCGGAUGGUAACAGGAGACGAGGGACACGAUGUUUUUACCUAGGUUCGGGCCCUCUUGAUGGAGGUAAAACCCUACGUCCUGCUUGAUUAAUAUCAAUGAUGUGGGUUACAAGAGUAGAUCUACCACGAGAUCAAGGAGGCUAAACCCUAGAAGCUAGCCAAUGGUAUGGUUGUUGUUCGUCCUAUGGACUAAAGCCAUCCGGUUUAUAUAAACACCGGAGAGGGCUAGGGUUACACAGAGUCAGUUACAAUGGUAGGAGAUCUACAUCUCCGUAUCACCAAGCUUGCCUUCCACACCAUGGAAAGUCCCAUCUGGACACGGGACGAAGUCUUCAGUCUUGUAUCUUCAUAGUCUUGGAGUCCGGCCGAUGAUGAUAGUUCGGCUAUCCGGACAUCCCCUAGUCCGGGACUCCCUCACCUCCUUUUUCCUAUGUGAGGACAACAAACCGAUCGACCUGGUCAUUCUCUAUUGCGUUCUCAUGCCUUUCUUCCCAUCUUCAAUCAAGAGACACGAGACUCAUUCCUUAGCUACUGAUUUUCCCCUUUUCAACCUAGGUUCGGGUUUGAUGCCUACUCUCUUGGACAGUACACUCUCACUUCCUUUCCUUAUUCAACCUAUACAUGGAUUAGUUUGCAUGAAGUAGGGUUUCCUUUAAUAGUACAAAUUAAGAUUUUCGUCUACAUGACCACCAGAGCAGAGGAUAGCAAAUUGGGAAGAUGGUGGAGUGGAAAAAGAUCCACAUGCAGCGACGUGGAAAAUGGGGCAAUAGAACAAGUGUAUAAUUUGAAAAGAGGUAGCAUACCUGAGGGUCGGCGGGAAGUGGCUUCACUAGUGGUCAUCGUCCUCCGCACACACUACAGCAGCGAGCUUUGGGACGGAGGCCAUCCCGCGCGGGUGCUAGGUCUGAGAGGAUGGCCUUGUCGUCAGUGCGUGACCUCUCUCGCCGACAACGAGUGCGUCAACGCAGCACUUACUUUUCUUCCCCAGCGGAUCUGUGACCACCCGUGAGGAGGGAGAGAGAGGAAGUCUUUUUUAGAUUUGGAGAGAGGGUGAUAGUGUGAGAAGCAAGUGUGCAGCCCUUAGCAAGAAAGCACUAAAGCUGCAACCUAUAGAUCUUUUUUAUACUACUAGUACUAGAGGUGAAGUAUUCGUAGAGUAGUUUAUAUUUUCUCUGCAUACAGUACCAGUUAGUCGUGCUUCAAAACUGAACGACACGCCAUUAAAAAAAUAAAGUCAAGAAACAAUGCGGCAGAUCACAUUUUGCACGAGAAAUGACACACCAUGUUUCGUUGACAUGUGGUCCCGUUCCAACAUGUCAGUGAGACGGCGGUGAGUCUUUUUGUACAAUUUCUGAACAGACGUCUAUGUAGGCCGGGGCGCCUCUUCGUGUACAAUGGCUACCGUCCACCGCCUCUUCGCCGUUCCCUCUCGAUUUGGAACUGUUGUCGCACGCUCUUCCUCCCUCCUCCAUUUGCCUUCACCCUUCCUUCUACCAUUGUUUGAUCGUAUUCUCCAUGGAGGGAACAAACCAGAAACGACCCCAUUUUCUUGCCCUGAUAUGAAAGAUGACGUGGUGGAGGAACUCAUUGAUCGGUGCGACGUGAUCACCUCAGCUAGCAUCGCAGGUUCAUUCAAGACCAUUCCCGACUCAACUAAUAACAUCAUUACAAGGAACCCAAUGGUCCUGGAGCAGGUUGAUCUCCCCUAUCUUGAGACUACUAAACAUGACAUGCAGUGGUUAGUUCAUGUCAUGUAAUCCUAUUAAUUAGCAAAAACACAUUAAGUUCUCUCGCCGAUAGGAAUAAAACAAUACACCAUGUAUUUAUUUACAGAGGGAGUAGUACAUUUUUUGUGACAUGCAUUACAAGAUAUUGCUAGUCAAAUACUAAAUCAAGAUGGACGUGGUACUACUACUAAAUCCAGACGGUGGUGGUAGUAGUACUACCAAUGUAGUAGAACGGUACUACCCGUUGGUCAAAUUAUUACGUGCUGCUCCUCACAGUGAAGUAUCAAGACCCUGCACCGGAGAUGACACCAGAGUAUAGGCGCCGUGUUCGGCAUACCAUAGUCAGCCUCACCGUCUGCAUUCACUAUCAUCAUGGCUGUAGAGCUAGCAUGCUUACAACUAGCCGUGUUCGACAUAAUUUUCCGUGCGUAGAUGCCCAUGCAUUGCAUGGAACACCAAGAUUGGGGUGGAUGGCGCCGGCAGCAGCCAUCACGCCAGAUUUUUCCAUGGCCUUCUAGAUGUGGUGGGGAGGAGAUAAGGCUGAUUGUGAGAGACAAGGAGUUGUUUGUAAAUAGGGAACAAGUGCGGGCAUCUUUUUGCAAAACUGGAGAAGUUUGGUUUGUGUGCGUCAAAUAUAGAUCCGAUGGCUAUUCGUGAAACAUGGCAGGCACAACAUCAUCACCAACUCAGGACCUCUUUGAUUCACAGGAUUUUGAAAACGUGGGAAUAGGACACGGCAAUAUUACAAGUUUCAAACGGAUAUUACAAAUUUUAGGAGUAAUGCUGCACCUACGAAGAGGUAAUUACUAGGAAGUCUACGUAAGAACAUUUGUUACUUUAGGUGGAUGCAGCAUUAUCGUACAAACUAAAAUCCACCACCCUAACAAGUCACUAAUGGGGAAAUAAAUUUUCGAGUCUCUGACCACUUGAUGUUUCAAAAACAAAUUCAGCUUCUGCGGAGACUUUGUCAUUUAGGCUUAGACGCUUGCGGUGAUCAGCACGCCAUUCAUUGUUGCACCAGAGAACGCCAAACCUCAUUACCUUGAGCACACUUGCCUCCAGAACAAAGAACCUAGCCAAUUUAAUCUCAGAUAUGCUGCCUCGGUAGUCGAUCAAAUCAAUUUAGGUAAGAUGGGCAUCAAGGCAUUCGAUGAGAUUGUUGUAGUCAGCACAUUUUUCACUUUCAGAUCUUUUUUAUCUGCAAAAGAAGAAAACAUAUUAGAGCAGCUGGUUAUAUCAGAUUGUCAUGUCAUCAAGAGGUACCACUAUCAUUCGCUCAUACUAUAGGGUUGGCUGGCUUGUGAUAUUUUUUCACNNNNNNNNNNNNNNNNNNNNNNNNNNNNNNNNNNNNNNNNNNNNNNNNNNNNNNNNNNNNNNNNNNNNNNNNNNNNNNNNNNNNNNNNNNNNNNNNNNNNAAGAAGAAAAAGAACAAUUUUUUAAAAAAAUUAAACCAAUUUUGGAAUGAGAACAAAGAUAUAAAGUUAUACAAAACAGGAUAUUUUCUGGAAUUAUGAAUUUUUUUUGAAAAUUAUGAACUUAUAGAAAAAAAGGGAGAAAGAAAAAUAAACUUGAAAGGAAAAAAGGCAAAAUAAACAUGAAAUAAAAAGGAAAGAAACGGAAAAAGAAAAUAAAACAUAAUACAGUAAAAAAACAGUUCAGCCCAUUGUGGACGCACUGUGCGAAGCUCCGACUAUUUGACGCACCAUGCGAUAAAUAGGAUUUUCCAGGUGGGCAUGAAAAUAAAUGCGCUUGCUUUGCCAGGCCACACUGCAGGCGGCCCAGAUACGUCGAUAUAGAAGUGGCAUAGCAUACAGAGUUAACAAUUAGUUUCACUAGCCGUCAACCCGUGCGUUCGCACGGGCUAGCCUAUAAAAAUGAGUGCUAAUUAGAAUUUUAUGUCCUACAAUCAAAUUAAAUUCAUCAGGUGGCCUGCAUAUAAAAUUUUCUCCAUUAUUUUACACUUUCUUUCGUAAAUUAUAUUAAAAUGGUACAGAAAUAUUAUUUGCUGGUAAUAUUAUAAAUUAUACAAACAAAUAGGCAUUGGAAAAUUGAACAUAAAAAUGUCGUACUUGUUAAAUAUUAGCCAUGCUGUUGGAAAAUUUCCUAACUCUGUUUAUUCGGUCUCCAACACUAUGCAAUUUACCUUUCUAGAAUGUUUUCAUUUGUGAAAUCAUUUUGCUGCUCCAACAUUAUGCAAGUUGUUGGUGCAGAUCACUUCUGUCUGGUUUGCCAAAUCAUUUUACCUUUCUAGAAAUAGAAAGGUGAUUGUAGUUGUUAGGAAGUCCUAAUAUCUUCUUUAGAUUAUCAUUGGUCGAUGGAUAUUCAGAUCCAUCAUUACCAUGAAAAUCGAAAUGACAUAUUAGUAGAUAAGUUUAUGUAGUAGAUUUUCUUGCCGUUGACAAUUAGUUCUCAAGUGACAAACUGUGUGAUAAAAUCUUUGACCAUUUGUUUAGUCUAAUCUUCUCCGGCCGUAUAUCUUCACUGCAUAUGACAACAUGGAAAGUUGUCAGCAACUAUAAGUUAUAUCCACCGGUUGUGUUUCAGGACACCCAAUUCACAACAUAAUGUAUCAAAUCUUGAAAAUUCAAUGAAUUGCAUGUGGUUGUUUGAUCUGUCCUAUAGAAGUAGCUAAUACAACUGAUCAUUACAUAGGCAUCACGCCCAAGAUUAGUAGACCGACUUCUGCCUGCAUCUACUACUAUUAUUGCACACAUCGACCGCUAUCCAGCAUGCAUCUAGUGUAUUAAGUUCAUAGAAAAAUAGAGUAAUGCAAUAAGAACGAUGACAUGAUGUAGACAAGAUCCGUUUAUCUAUUGAGUAGAUAUAGAUACCAUCUUUUUAUCCUUAGUAGAAACGAUACAUACGUGUCGUCUCCCUUUCUGUCACUGGAAUCAAGCACCGUAAGAUCGAACCCACUAUCGGGCACCUCUUCCCAUUGCAAGAUAAAUAGAUCAAGUUGGCCAAACAAAACCCAUAUACCGGAGAAGAAAUACGAGGCUAUAAGAGAUCAAAGAAACUCAAAUAACUUUCAUGGAUAUAAAAAGAUAUAACUGAUCAUAAACUCGAAGUUCAUCAGAUCCCAACAAACACACCGCAAAAAGAGUUACAUCAUAUGGAUCUCCAAGAGACCAUUGCAUUGAGAAUUCAGGGAGAGAGAGAGGAAGCCAUCUAGCUAGUAACUACGAACCCGAAGGUCUACAAAGAACUACUCACGCAUCAUCGGAGAGGCACCAAUGGAGGUGGUGAACCCCAUCCGAGAUGGUAUCUAGAUUGGAUCUGGUGGUUCUGAACUCUGCGACGGCUGGAUGAAUAUUUCGUCGACUCCCCUAGGGUUUCUGGAUUUUUGAGGUAUUUAUAGAGCAAAGAUGCGGUCCGGGAGGCACCCGAGGUGGGCACAACCCACCAGGGCGCGCCUGGGCCUCCUGGCGCGCCCUGGUGGGUUGUGUUCCUUUUGGCCCAUAAAAAUUCUUCGUAAAGUUUCGGGGCAUUUGGACUCCGUUUGAUAUUGAUAUCCCGCGAUGUAAAAAACAUGGAAAAAACAGCAACUGGCACUUGGCACUAUGUCAAUAGGUUAGUACCAAAAAAUGAUAUAAAAUGACUAUAAAAUGAUUAUAAAACAUCGAAGAUUGAUAAUAAAACAGCAUGGAACAAUCAAAAAUUAUAGUUGCGUUGGAGACGUAUCAGCAUCCCCAAGCUUAACUCCUGCUCGUCCUCGAGUAGGUAAGUGAUAAAAACAAAUUUUUUGAUGUGGAGUGCUGUUUAUCAAGUCAUAUCAUAUUCUUUUCUUUAUAGCAUGGACAUUUGGACUUCUAUGUGAUUCAAAGCAAUAGUCUAGUUUUGACAUAAUAAUUUAGAUACUCAAGCAUAUCAACAAGCAACCAUGUCUUUCAAAAUAUCAACGCUAAAACAAGUUAUUCCUAGCCCAUGAUGUUGGGUUCAUUAGCCCAAAUACUGUAAAUGAAUUUAUGGUAAAAAAGAGAGUCAAAGAUACUGAGGACAACUUGCUACAAUCGUUCCUUCGACAUCAAAACAAAGGGAAAAUACUCUUUCCUUACCACUUCAAGUGAGUCUUACUGUCUUGUGCAUAUUCGGUUUCGCUUACUCGAGGUUAUAGUAGUGUAAUUGAUGAGUUAUGCGUGCGCAGCUUCCACUUUAUUCUGCUAGAGAUUAAGCUUGACGGGGGAGUAGUAAAUGUCUUAGACUCGAGACGUAAAGAUCCCCAGGAUUUUGCGGACAUGACUGCAAUGCUCCAGAAGUAAGUUCAAUCAUUAUCGCACCAUAUCAGCAACUUUCGUUCAUUUCCUGAUAUCAAGUAAUCAUUUUCUUUGCCUGGCACGGUUUGGAAACAAUUCACCGGAAUGGUUCCGGGUCUGCAGAAGGAGCUGUGAUUUACACACCCCCAAAGUAAGUAGUACUAGCUAGUUCCACGCAUCUCUCAUUGAUUCUAGUUUCAUCACUACCAUUUAUCAUGCUUGAUUAUCAGUUUGAUUGAACUCUAUUUCUCAUAAAGUGCUUAUGGCAGGAAGGCGGGAAUAAUUUAUGUGGAUACUAUGUUUGUGAGUUCAUUUGCCGCUCGACCUCUGAGCNNNNNNNNNNNNNNNNNNNNNNNNNNNNNNNNNNNNNNNNNNNNNNNNNNNNNNNNNNNNNNNNNNNNNNNNNNNNNNNNNNNNNNNNNNNNNNNNNNNNAGACCGAGAGAGUCAACCAGAUUCUGGAGGACAUGUUGAGAGCCUAUGCGUUAGACUAUGGGUCUAGCUGGGAUGACAAUCUGCCAUACACACAGUUCUCGUACAACAACAACUAUCAGACCAGUCUGAAGAUGGCCCCUUUCGAAGCUCUAUACGGAAGGAGGUGCAGAACACCAUUGCUGUGGGAUGGUGUUGGAGACCGAAAGCUUUUUGGUCCCGAUCUUAUCAGAGACUACGAAGAGAAGGUCAAACUGAUUCGAGAUAGACUCAAGAUAGCCCAGUCGAGACAGAAGAGUUAUGCCGACAGUAAACGCAAGGAGGUAGCGUAUGAAGUUGGAGACCGAGCCUAUCUCCGUGUGUCCCCACUUUGUGGAAUCAAGAGAUUUGGUGUUAACAGAAAGUUAGCACCCCGUUUCAUAGGCCCCUACAAAAUCUUGAACGCAAAGGAGAAGUUGCAUACAAGAUGGAAUUGCCGGAAGGAUUGUCAGGAGUUCAUGAUGUCUUCCAUGCUUCCCAGCUGAAGAAAUGCCAUGCUGAGAUGGCCGAUAUACCUUUGAGAGACACAGUGCCCCUAGAGGCCAUACAGCUCGACAGUGAUCUGACUUAUGAGGAGAAACCCGUCAGGAUUCUCGAGACUGCGAACAGAGUUAUCCGCAGCAAGAUCAUCAAAUUUUGCAAGGUUCUGUGGAGUCAUCAUUCCGAGGAGGAAGCCACCUGGGAGCGAGAAGAAGAUCUCCGCCGAGACCACUUGCAUCUAUUUGCUAGCCAACCCGAAUCUCGAGGGCGAGAUUCAUCUUAAGGUGGGUAGGUUUGUAACAUCCCAAAUUUUCAAUUUGGAAUGUUUUACAAUUAUUAGUUAAGCAUCUAUGCAUUUUGUUUGAAUUGAGUGGCAUUUGGAAAUUUUCAGAGGCUUUUGAAUUUUUGUUGAAUUUGGAUUCAACUUGGCAUUUGAAAAAUCUACCUCAAUAUCCCUGACAAAUACUUGAGAAAAAGUAUGAGAGGAGCUAACAUGACGCUCCCAAAAUGUCAGAAAAAAAUAUAGCCAAAAGGUUUGAAUUCAAAUUUGAAUUUUAUUUGGAGUUUGCAGAAAAUGUUUUUUUAGUUUCUGUUUUGCCUCUAUAAAAAUGUCCACGCUAUAGGAUUUAUUACCCUGAGAAUUUUGAUAUAUAUAUGUCCUAUAUAAAAAUAUUAUAGGUUUACCUAUAAUUAGUUUUCUCUCUCUGUGGUACUUCAAAAAAACAAAAAAAGGUCCAAGGCGCCAGCCAGGCCAACUGGCCCAGCAGCGCUGAGCCGCAGCCCACCAGCAACCGAGCCGGCCUGCCCCAGUGCGGCGCACGCCCGAACCCCUCUCCCCUCGGUCGCCCGCUCGCUCUCCUCUCUCCCUCUCCCGCUGACCCGCGGGGCCCGCCCUAUCCCUAACCCCUCGCCCACGACAUGCCGCGUCGGAGCACGCGUAGAGCGUGCCCGACACCGCGAUCCUCUCGGGAUCGUGAUCCCUAGUCGCCCUCUGCUCAACGAAGGUGUCCUAUAAAUACCCCUCGGCCUCCUCUGUCGAUCCCCCUAAAAAACCCUACUCCAAAACCCACCACAGCCACCGCCGUCGCCAAACGCAUCUCGCCGCCGCCGCCUCGGUUCGCCGCCACUCCCGACACCGGUGAGCCCUCUCUGCCCCUCCUAGCACCUUCACCCGAACCUCCACUACCUCCCGCACCUCUUUGACACCUUUUCAUCGCCCAGGAAUCGCCGAAGCCGUCGCCCCCGACCUCAACCGCCGCUCGCCGGAGCUGCAGCUCACCAGGGAGCAGUCGACGUCGCCCCGACCACCUCCGUCGUCCCCGAGCUCCCCCGACCUCCACUCGAGCUGCCGCACCCGCCCGACAACUCCGCCGCCGCCCCGGACCACCGUAGCAACCCCGCCACCGUCGCCCGAGCCGCCGUCGUCCCUCGUCACCGCUGUAAGCCACCGGACUCCCUCCACCGUUCGAUCUGCACUGCACGGGUUAGAUUAGACUAGCGAAGGGGUACCGUUUAUUUUCAAUAGAUCGGUUAGUUUACGGUUUAUUUCCGGUUUAGUGCGGUUUAGUGUAGACGGGCCGAUCGGUUGUUUUUAUUAUUAACCGUACGCGUGUUAGCCUAUUCAACGCAUGAGCGCGGUUUAGUUUUAGAACGCCACUGUUUCGGCCCAUUAGCGCGUUAGUUUUUGUUUAGUUUUAUUUUAGUUUCUGUUUUAAAACAGAAUAGUUCCAGUUUUGUAAAAUCUAUAUCUUUUAAGUUAUUUAUUAUUUUUAGUUGAUUCUUUUUGCUCUAGUUUGCAAAUUUCCUAUAGUUGCUGUAGAGAUUCGGACAUGUUUAGGUUUUUAAAAAUUGUUUUAUAUUAGUUUUAGUCAGAUUAGUUUUUCUGCUAUAAAUUGAGUUAGGAUUAGUUUUUUUAGUGUUUCUUUUUGUCACUGCUUUGUUUUGACUUUGUCUAGCAGUAGGAAUUUAUUUGGGCAUUUAUAGUCUUUAUUAAAAAUAAUUUUUAUGCGAAGACAAACUUUUCUAGUUUAUUUAGCUUGCUGCUAUUUUCUGUUGUUUUAGUUUUUUAAAAUUUUAUUUUUCCUAUUUAUAAUUUAUUUUAGAUUAGUUUCUGUAGUUACAGAGGGUGUACAUUUAUUUACAGCAAAAUAAAAAGUUUUAUUUUAUUUUCUUAAUAGUUUUGUUUUAGGUAUAACAGGAGUUCUAUAAUAGAUAUUGGUUUGAAUCUUUUUGCACCUAGUUUGUAUGUUGUUUUCCUUUAUGUUAGUUAGUAAAACCAUUGUUUUGGAUCUGUAAAGAAAAGUGUUAGUAGGUUAAAACUAUUUCCUUGUUGUUGCUUGAUGUGAUGGAAACCUUGAUUUUGUUUUCCUCGAGUUUUCUUUGAUUUUGGUUUGAGUGCUUGUGUGUUUUCCUUUAGUUUGUCAUUAGUGAAAUACUUAUUUGUGCUAUUGUUUGACUCGAUAGGAUUUCCGGAGUGCGAAGCUUGCUAUCUCGAGUCACUAGCAUUUGAAGAUCGUCAGCCAGGCAAGUUAUUUGAUCAUGUUUUACAAUACCUAUGAUUUUGUUGCAUUAGAAUUAUUCCUCCCCACCAUGCAUGCAGUAGGAGAAUUUUAAGUUAUGUUCUUGAGUAGUAUCAUGAGGUAGGAUGAACCCACNNNNNNNNNNNNNNNNNNNNNNNNNNNNNNNNNNNNNNNNNNNNNNNNNNNNNNNNNNNNNNNNNNNNNNNNNNNNNNNNNNNNNNNNNNNNNNNNNNNNAGACCGAGAGAGUCAACCAGAUUCUGGAGGACAUGUUGAGAGCCUAUGCGUUAGACUAUGGGUCUAGCUGGGAUGACAAUCUGCCAUACACACAGUUCUCGUACAACAACAACUAUCAGACCAGUCUGAAGAUGGCCCCUUUCGAAGCUCUAUACGGAAGGAGGUGCAGAACACCAUUGCUGUGGGAUGGUGUUGGAGACCGAAAGCUUUUUGGUCCCGAUCUUAUCAGAGACUACGAAGAGAAGGUCAAACUGAUUCGAGAUAGACUCAAGAUAGCCCAGUCGAGACAGAAGAGUUAUGCCGACAGUAAACGCAAGGAGGUAGCGUAUGAAGUUGGAGACCGAGCCUAUCUCCGUGUGUCCCCACUUUGUGGAAUCAAGAGAUUUGGUGUUAACAGAAAGUUAGCACCCCGUUUCAUAGGCCCCUACAAAAUCUUGAACGCAAAGGAGAAGUUGCAUACAAGAUGGAAUUGCCGGAAGGAUUGUCAGGAGUUCAUGAUGUCUUCCAUGCUUCCCAGCUGAAGAAAUGCCAUGCUGAGAUGGCCGAUAUACCUUUGAGAGACACAGUGCCCCUAGAGGCCAUACAGCUCGACAGUGAUCUGACUUAUGAGGAGAAACCCGUCAGGAUUCUCGAGACUGCGAACAGAGUUAUCCGCAGCAAGAUCAUCAAAUUUUGCAAGGUUCUGUGGAGUCAUCAUUCCGAGGAGGAAGCCACCUGGGAGCGAGAAGAAGAUCUCCGCCGAGACCACUUGCAUCUAUUUGCUAGCCAACCCGAAUCUCGAGGGCGAGAUUCAUCUUAAGGUGGGUAGGUUUGUAACAUCCCAAAUUUUCAAUUUGGAAUGUUUUACAAUUAUUAGUUAAGCAUCUAUGCAUUUUGUUUGAAUUGAGUGGCAUUUGGAAAUUUUCAGAGGCUUUUGAAUUUUUGUUGAAUUUGGAUUCAACUUGGCAUUUGAAAAAUCUACCUCAAUAUCCCUGACAAAUACUUGAGAAAAAGUAUGAGAGGAGCUAACAUGACGCUCCCAAAAUGUCAGAAAAAAAUAUAGCCAAAAGGUUUGAAUUCAAAUUUGAAUUUUAUUUGGAGUUUGCAGAAAAUGUUUUUUUAGUUUCUGUUUUGCCUCUAUAAAAAUGUCCACGCUAUAGGAUUUAUUACCCUGAGAAUUUUGAUAUAUAUAUGUCCUAUAUAAAAAUAUUAUAGGUUUACCUAUAAUUAGUUUUCUCUCUCUGUGGUACUUCAAAAAAACAAAAAAAGGUCCAAGGCGCCAGCCAGGCCAACUGGCCCAGCAGCGCUGAGCCGCAGCCCACCAGCAACCGAGCCGGCCUGCCCCAGUGCGGCGCACGCCCGAACCCCUCUCCCCUCGGUCGCCCGCUCGCUCUCCUCUCUCCCUCUCCCGCUGACCCGCGGGGCCCGCCCUAUCCCUAACCCCUCGCCCACGACAUGCCGCGUCGGAGCACGCGUAGAGCGUGCCCGACACCGCGAUCCUCUCGGGAUCGUGAUCCCUAGUCGCCCUCUGCUCAACGAAGGUGUCCUAUAAAUACCCCUCGGCCUCCUCUGUCGAUCCCCCUAAAAAACCCUACUCCAAAACCCACCACAGCCACCGCCGUCGCCAAACGCAUCUCGCCGCCGCCGCCUCGGUUCGCCGCCACUCCCGACACCGGUGAGCCCUCUCUGCCCCUCCUAGCACCUUCACCCGAACCUCCACUACCUCCCGCACCUCUUUGACACCUUUUCAUCGCCCAGGAAUCGCCGAAGCCGUCGCCCCCGACCUCAACCGCCGCUCGCCGGAGCUGCAGCUCACCAGGGAGCAGUCGACGUCGCCCCGACCACCUCCGUCGUCCCCGAGCUCCCCCGACCUCCACUCGAGCUGCCGCACCCGCCCGACAACUCCGCCGCCGCCCCGGACCACCGUAGCAACCCCGCCACCGUCGCCCGAGCUGCCGUCGUCCCUCGUCACCGCUGUAAGCCACCGGACUCCCUCCACCGUUUGAUCUGCACUGCACGGGUUAGAUUAGACUAGCGAAGGGGUACCGUUUAUUUUCAAUAGAUCGGUUAGUUUACGGUUUAUUUCCGGUUUAGUGCGGUUUAGUGUAGACGGGCCGAUCGGUUGUUUUUAUUAUUAACCGUACGCGUGUUAGCCUAUUCAACGCAUGAGCGCGGUUUAGUUUUAGAACGCCACUGUUUCGGCCCAUUAGCGCGUUAGUUUUUGUUUAGUUUUAUUUUAGUUUCUGUUUUAAAACAGAAUAGUUCCAGUUUUGUAAAAUCUAUAUCUUUUAAGUUAUUUAUUAUUUUUAGUUGAUUCUUUUUGCUCUAGUUUGCAAAUUUCCUAUAGUUGCUGUAGAGAUUCGGACAUGUUUAGGUUUUUAAAAAUUGUUUUAUAUUAGUUUUAGUCAGAUUAGUUUUUCUGCUAUAAAUUGAGUUAGGAUUAGUUUUUUUAGUGUUUCUUUUUGUCACUGCUUUGUUUUGACUUUGUCUAGCAGUAGGAAUUUAUUUGGGCAUUUAUAGUCUUUAUUAAAAAUAAUUUUUAUGCGAAGACAAACUUUUCUAGUUUAUUUAGCUUGCUGCUAUUUUCUGUUGUUUUAGUUUUUUAAAAUUUUAUUUUUCCUAUUUAUAAUUUAUUUUAGAUUAGUUUCUGUAGUUACAGAGGGUGUACAUUUAUUUACAGCAAAAUAAAAAGUUUUAUUUUAUUUUCUUAAUAGUUUUGUUUUAGGUAUAACAGGAGUUCUAUAAUAGAUAUUGGUUUGAAUCUUUUUGCACCUAGUUUGUAUGUUGUUUUCCUUUAUGUUAGUUAGUAAAACCAUUGUUUUGGAUCUGUAAAGAAAAGUGUUAGUAGGUUAAAACUAUUUCCUUGUUGUUGCUUGAUGUGAUGGAAACCUUGAUUUUGUUUUCCUCGAGUUUUCUUUGAUUUUGGUUUGAGUGCUUGUGUGUUUUCCUUUAGUUUGUCAUUAGUGAAAUACUUAUUUGUGCUAUUGUUUGACUCGAUAGGAUUUCCGGAGUGCGAAGCUUGCUAUCUCGAGUCACUAGCAUUUGAAGAUCGUCAGCCAGGCAAGUUAUUUGAUCAUGUUUUACAAUACCUAUGAUUUUGUUGCAUUAGAAUUAUUCCUCCCCACCAUGCAUGCAGUAGGAGAAUUUUAAGUUAUGUUCUUGAGUAGUAUCAUGAGGUAGGAUGAACCCACNNNNNNNNNNNNNNNNNNNNNNNNNNNNNNNNNNNNNNNNNNNNNNNNNNNNNNNNNNNNNNNNNNNNNNNNNNNNNNNNNNNNNNNNNNNNNNNNNNNNAUUGCGUGUCGUUGUCGGUGAUGAUCCGGUUAGGGAUCCCGAAGCGGCAAACAAUCGACCUGAAGAACUUGACCGCUGACUGUGCUGUCACCUUCCUCACUGCUUCCACUUCCGGCCACUUUGUGAACUUGUCGAUUGCAACGUACAAGUACUCAAAUCCCCCGACAGCUCGGGGGAAAGGGCCGAGGAUGUCGAGCCCCCAGAUCGAAAAUGGCCAGGAUAAAGGGAUCGUCUGGAGAACUUGAGCUGGCUAGUGUAUCUGCUGGGAAUGGAACUGGCACGCUUCACACUUGGUUACUUGUGCAGUUGCAUCCUGGAGGGCUGUCGGCCAAAAGAAACCUUGCCGGAACGCUUUGCCGGCAAGUGCUCUUGCGCCAAUAUGGUGACCACAUAUGCCUCCAUGUAUCUCUGCCAACAGCUUUUGUCCAUCUUCCCGGUGAACACACUUCAAUUUCACACCGUUGAGUCUUCUUCUGUACAGUGUGUUGUCGACAAACUGGUACAUACUUGACUGCCGGGCUACUCUUUCCGCUUCUUCUUGCUCUUCAGGAAGUUCUCCUGUCUGAAGGAAACGGACAAUCUGCUGUGCCCAUGCUGGAGCUUGCGGUUCGACAACAAGGACUAAAGGCACAUCUACUGCUGUGGGAACAUCCGCUUCUACGGCGAUAACCUGCGGCUCAGCCGGAGCUUGAUGUUCCCCGGCAAGCUUGCCGGAGCAAAGCUUGUCGGGAGCGUUUGCUUCAACGGAACAAACCUUAAGGCUUGCCAGAGCAGACUGCUCCUUAGCACCCUUGGCGUUGAUCUUGGGGACCUUCUUGGCGGCGGCUACGGGGAGCUCUGCCGGAAAAUAGUCACCAGAAAUCAACUUCCUCUUCUUGCUCUGUCCAGUUGAUGGCGUUACAGACGGUUGAGUCAGCUUGAGCACAAAGAUCCCUAGUUCCACAGGUAACUUAAGUGCGGCGCACUUUGACAGGCCAUCGGCAAUGUCAUUCUGAGCUCUUGGAACAUGUUCCAUCUGCAGGCCAUCAAAGUGCUCUUCUAGCUUUCUCACUUCAUCAACGUAAGCUUCCAUCAAUGGACUCUAAUAAUUCUUGUUCACUUGGCGGACGACAAGUUGUGAGUCACCCCUGACAAUGAGCUUCUUGAUACCAAGGCCUGCUGCGAUCCUGAGACCGGCAAGCAAACCUUCAUACUCUGCGGUAUUGUUCGUUGCUUGCUCCUUGGGAAAGUGCAUAUGGACUACGUACUUGAGGUGCUCUCCGGUGGGUGCGACAAGUAGCACGCCCGCACCGGCGCCUUGCAGCGAGAAGGCACCAUCAAAGUACAUCAGCCACUCUUUGCUUGCUUCCUUAACGGGGAUGCUUGUCUCCGGAAUUUCUUCAUCUUGCGUUGGCAUCCAUUCUGCUAUGAACUCUGCCAACACUCUACUUUGGAUAGUUGAAGUGCUCUCAAACUGAAGGCCAAAGCUUGACAGUUCCAGUGCCCACUCGACAAUCCUGCCUGUUGCUUCUGGAUUUUGCAGUAUCCUCUUCAGCGGAAAACGAGUAACGACUGUGAUCUCAUGUUCCUGGAAGUAAUGGCGCAUCUUUCUCGAGGCCAUGAGAAGGCCGAAAAGCAAUUUCUGCACACCCGAGUACCUUGACCUAGCACCCUGCAGAAGGGAACUGACAAAGUAAACUGGGCGCUGCACCAUCCUUUUCUGCAUCUUCUCAUGCGUCUGUGCAGAUCCAUCUUUGUCGGGACCAGAGCUCGCUGAUGAAGUCCCCUGCUUGUCGCUGGAUGCAUCUGCCGUGGUUGCUGACUCAUCAUCCGCCUCCCUCUCCGCCACUAACGCAGCACUAACCACUUGAUUGGUUGCCGCUAUAUAUAGCAGCAACUUCUCUUGUGGCUUAGGUGCGACAAGUGUUGGAGUGGAGGACAGGUAUUUCUUCAAGUCCUGCAGCGCAGCCUCCGCCUCCGGAGUCCAUUUCAUUGGACCUGCCUUUUUCAAUAUUUUGAAAAAUGGCAGGGCGUGCUCAGCAGAUCUAGAGAUAAACCUGCUGAGAGCAGUUACGCAACCGGCAAGCCUUCGUACAUCCUUGACGCGCUUUGGUGCUUCAAUCUGCUCAAUGGCCUUGAUCUUGUCGGGAUUGGCUUCAAUUCCCCGCUGAGACACGAAGAACCCGAGAAGCUUGCCGGAGGGGACUCCAAACACACACUUCUCGGGGUUUAGCUUGAGGUUGAUCUUGCGCUGAUUUGCAAAGGUUUCGUCUAAAUCUUGAAUCAGAGUCGCCUUGUCCUUGCUCUUGACCACUAUGUCAUCCAUGUAGGCUUCCACAUUUCUGUGCAUUUGUGACUCAAAAGCGUAAUGGACUACCCUUGCAAAUGUUGAACCAGCAUUCUUUAAACCGAAAGGCAUCCGUACGAAACAGUAUGUGCCACAUGGGGUGAUGAAUGCCGUUUUCUCCUCAUCCUCUUCUGCCAUGAAGAUCUGAUGGUAUCCUGAGUAUGCAUCAAGAAAUGAAAGCAAGUCACAUCCAGCCGUGGAGUCAACAAUCUGGUCGAUGCGCGGCAAGGGAAAUGGGUCUUUGGGACAAGUUUUAUUGACAUCGGUAAAGUCGAUACAAAGCCUCCAUUUCCCGUUCGCCUUCGCACUACUACAGGGUUGGCCAACCACGUAGGAUGGAGCACUCCUCUGACAAGGCCUGCUGCUUCCAAUUUCUUGAUUUCUUCUGCGAUGAAUUCCUGGCGCUCCACUGCCUGCUUCCUAACUUUCUGCUUGACGGGCCGCGCAUGAGGACAGACGGCAAGAUGGUGCUCGAUUACUUUCCUGGGAACACCGGGGAUGUCAGAUGGUUGCCACGCAAAUACGUCGACAUUCGCCCGCAGGAAAGCAACGAGCGCGCUUUCCUAUUUAGGGUCGAGAGUGGCACUGAUGGUGAAGGUACCACCAGUGCCAUCCUCCUUGGCGGACACCUUCUUGGUCUCUGGUGGAGCUGCCAUCGUCUUCUUACACUUGCCGGUGGAGCUCGAUGGUGCGUCCUCGAUGGUAGCGCAGCACUCCGAAGAGGUGCGCUUGCCGGAGUGGGCAUCAGAACUCUUGCCAGACUUGGUCUUCUUUGUCUCAGGAGUUUCAGCGGCAAGUGGCAUGCGAUCUGCUAUGGCUGCCGCUUCCCGGUAGAUCUUGUCGGNNNNNNNNNNNNNNNNNNNNNNNNNNNNNNNNNNNNNNNNNNNNNNNNNNNNNNNNNNNNNNNNNNNNNNNNNNNNNNNNNNNNNNNNNNNNNNNNNNNNGCUGCAUGCCCCGUCUUUGAUGGAACUGAAUAUCCCUACUGGAAGAAUAAGAUGCGCAUGCAUCUUGAAGCCAUUGACGUCGACCUAUGGUAUGUCGUCAAGAACGGCAUUCCCAAGGCUGGAGAAGGUGUCACUGCUGCUGAUGUCAAGAAGUUCGUUCAACUGGACUGUACUGCCAAGAAUAUCAUCAGUGGUCAUCUGACCAAAGGACAGUAUGGCCGUGUGAGUGCUUUGGAAACAUCUAAGCUGGUCUGGGACUGGCUCUCCAACGUCAAUGAAGGCGUCUCAACCCAGAGAGAUCAGAGAAUCAGUGUCCUUCGCAACCUCUUCAACCGCUUCAAGCGAAAUGACAAUGAGAAUGUCCAGCUCACAUUUGACCGACUCACUGACAUCACAAAUGAGCUUCAAGCCCUCGGCGCUACUGAGAUCACCAAGCUUGAAGUCGUCAAGACACUACUGAGAUCACUUGAUAGUUUGUUUGACACCCUAGCCCUGAUGAUUCAAGAACGUCCUGAUUUCAAGACACUCGAUCGGUCUGACAUACUUGAGAGGCUCAACACACAUGAGUUUCAGCUUUCUGAGAAAAGAGACAUCUACGGUCCAAACUAUGGGCGAACUCGUGCUUUGAAGGCAAAAGUUGUCUCCUCAUCUGAAGAAGAAUCUGACAGCAGUUUGGAUGAUCCUGAAGACAUUGGAAGGGAACUUGCUAUGCUUGUGAAGAAGUUCCAAAAAUUCACCAAGAAGAAAGGUUUCAGAAAGUCUUCCCGAUCAAGCUCAAGGAAUGAUGAAGCUUCUGCUCAUGACUACAAGAAGAAAACAUGUCACAAGUGCAAGAAACCUGGCCACUUCAUCUCUGAGUGUCCGCAGUGGGACAAUGAGAACAAAAAGAAGAAGAAGAGCAAGGAAUAUGACUCUGACAAGAAGAAGAAGAAGAAGAAAUACUCAAAGUCUUCUUCCAAGUCUUCCUCAAAGUCUUCAUCACACAAGAAGAGCUCAUCUGGCAAGGCACGUGCGUUUGUUGGCAAGGAAAUGGAUUCAGAGGAGGAGUCCGCUUCUGAGGAGGUGGAGGUGGAGUCUGAGGAGGAGUCCGAUUCAGGCAUCGCAAGUCUGGCUGCAGCGUACGUUGCCAAGUCCAUCUUCAACACUGAAGACAAUGCCGUCAUCACCGACACUGAUGCAAAUGACAAGGACUACUCUGCUUCUACCUACUGCUUCAUGGCACGCGGUGCCAAGGUAAACACACGCACUACUCACUAUAAAACAUGUAGUGACGAUGACUCUGAUUGUGGUUCAAAACCCAGCUACAAAACACUUGCUAAAAUUGCAACUGAACAACAGAAAGCUAUGGAACAUAUUCAAAAACUGUUAGACAGAAGCGAUGAUCUGUUAGGUGCUGAAAUGACUCAAUCUGAGUCCUUAAUUGAAGACAUAAAAAAUCUUCACGUUAAGUAUGAGGAACUUGAAAGUCGUCAUGAAACGCUCUCAACAACUCAUGAAAAGCUUUCCUAUGAUUAUCUUCAAAGGAAGCAAGAUCUUGAGAAAUUGAGAGCGGCUCAUGAAGAUCUUCAAAAGGAAAAUGAGUCACUUCGCGCCGAACAGAUCAGCUCCGCUCAGGAAGGAUUUGAACCACCAUGUCUUAAAUGCAUUGAGCGUGAUAAUGCUACUACUGUUGCUGAAUGUUCUACUGCUGCUACUAUUGCAAUAUCUUCAACUAUUGAUGUGGAAACUAACCCCUCUGCUGAGGAUUCCAUUGCUAUUGCUGAUGAGAAUGCUAGGUUGAAGACAUUGCUUGAAACAGGGAUGUACAAAAGUCUUAAAGGGCAUCAGACACUAUGUGAUGUCCUCAAAAAGCAGAUCUUGAACCGAAACCCGAGGAAAGAGGGUGUUGGGUUCGUAAGGAAAAUGAAUGCUGAUGGCUCUUACUGGAAACCUGAGCAGUACCCCAAAACCACAUGGGUUGCUGCAAAGGAAUUUUCAGCAGAUCCAUCCACUCUAUCUGGGUUCACUUGUGCAAACCCCAUUGUCAUUGAUGAAUCCUUUGAUGCAAACUAUAAACUGUUUAAGAAUCAGAAUGGUGAAGUGUUUGCCAGGUACAUUGGUACUAACUGCUGGAAUGAACCGCCUAUGAAGAAGAUCUGGGUUCCGAAAAAGUGUCUGGAGAAUCUUCCUGUGAAUGUCAUCAUGGCACCUCACGUGAAGAAGACAAACCUCAGACCAAAGGCUUCAUACGGUCCAAAGGCUUCAUACAGACAGAGGACUCACCUGAGUCGCACUAACGCAAAUGUUUUGCAGGGAAACCAUACUCAGGCCUAUUGUGACUCCCCCGAUUCAAUCGUACACUAAUCAUGCACGCAAAUGUGUACGAUCAAGAUCAGGGACUCACGGGAAGAUAUCACAACACAACUCUAAAACAUAAAUAAGUCAUACAAGCAUCAUAAUACAAGCCAGGGGCCUCGAGGGAUCGAAUACAAGUGCUCGAUCAUAGACGAGUCAGCGGAAGCAACAAUAUCUGAGUACAGACAUAAGUUAAACAAGUUGCCAUAAGAUGGCUAGCACAAACUGGGAUACAGAUCGAAAGAGGCGCAGACCUCCUGCCUGGGAUCCUCCUAACUACUCCAGGUCGUCGUCAGCGGGCAGUACGUAGUAGUAGGCACCUCCAGUGUAGUAGGGGUCGUCGACGACGGUGGCGUCUGGCUCCUGGACUCCAGCAUCUGGUUGCGACAACCAGGAAGAGAGGAAAGGGGAAAAGGGGGGAGAAAGCAACCGUGAGUACUCAUCCAAAGUACUCGCAAGCAAGGAACUACACUACAUAUGCAUGGGUAUAUGUGUAAGGAGGCCAUAUCAGUGGACUGAACUGCAGAAUGCCAGAAUAAGAGGGGGAUAGCUAGUCUUAUCGAAGACUACGCUUCUGGUCACCUUCGUCUUGCAACAGGCAGAAGAGGGUAGGUCGAAGUCCUCCAAGUAGCAUCUCCAAGUAACAUCUCAUAGCAUAAUCCUACCCGGCGAUCCCCUCCUCAUAUCCCUGAGGUAGAGCGACCACCGGUUGUAUCUGGCACUUGGAAGGGUGUGUUUUAUUAAGUAUCCGGUUCUAGUUGUCAUAAGGUCAAGGUACAACUCCAAGUCGUCCUGUUACCGAAGAUCACGGCUAUUCGAAUAGAUUAACUUCCCUGNNNNNNNNNNNNNNNNNNNNNNNNNNNNNNNNNNNNNNNNNNNNNNNNNNNNNNNNNNNNNNNNNNNNNNNNNNNNNNNNNNNNNNNNNNNNNNNNNNNNGGAUGAAUUUUCCCUAUAUAUUUGCUCUCUUUAUUUUUGCAGUAUUUGUGUAGAGGAACGGUGCCCAGCAGUAUAUAUGAUAGGACGCUCCUGUUGGUUUUAUUCAGAACAUAUGUUGUUUCGUCAAUGACAACCACAUAAUGACAAAAGGAGAGGACUUUUAUUUGUGUAAGAGAUAGGUGCGCUAAUGUUUUUAUCUGGAAAGCACUGUAGCCAUCCAAUUGCCUCCCAAGGGUCAGAACCAGCACCGAGCUACGCGGUCCAUUAAUUUUUUAAUCGGCUGUGCGUACUGUUCAAGUAGGCCUGCAAUCCUUGAGGCAGCGGUUGUACCUGGCGCAUAUCUCAAUGCCAUUGCACGGACCAGAUAGAGGGUCCUGUGGAGAUCGGGCUAGGAAAAACCACACUCACAUUCACAGCUCGGACGCCCAUUCUUCUUCGCCUCUUCAAGAUCUUUUCUUGAUCCAAGACUUGGUUAGGAUGUCCGCCAACUGUACAUCGGUGUAAAUGUAGUUGGCCUUCAUCUUAUCUUAUUCUACUAAUUUUUUUAUGUAGUGAUGCAUCGUAUCAAUGUACUUGCUCCUAUCAUGCUACACCUGGAUUCUCACGUAUAAAAGUUGUAGACUUGCCGGCAACAAUGGACACCACUUGUUUCGUAUCUCGAUUCAUAAGAUCGUCGUGUAGCCUCUUUAUAUAGACAGAAGCUAGGGCAAUAUAUGGGUUGAGACUUUCUGGGUGCACUGCCGCAGGCUGUUGGCAACCGGCCGAUCCUUCCGUGGGCGUUUGCCUUAUCUCGCUGCAUAUACUAGGUAGGUUCGACAUGUAACUCACCUGUCGUGGUUAUCCUUUUGAUUGGAUAAGCAUGAAACCCAACUAAUAUAAUGUUGUGAUUAUCCUUUUGCUCCUAUCAUGCCACAUUUGGAUUAUCCUUUGUUACACGCGGGUUCAAGCAUUUUUUAUUGUUGAAGCUUUUUUCCACACCCAUUGAAGCUUUUUUCCGCUGGUUUGAACCUUAGUCCUUCACGGGUUGAAGCUAUUUUACACACUGGUAACAACUGCUAGUUAGCUGGGUACAGCAAACACCCUUGCCGGUUGCAGCUCACAAACUUCUUGUGGUCUCGCAUGCCAUGCCGACAGGUCGCCGGCCAUGGCCACACUGUGCAGCAUGUAGCCUCCCCUCUGAACUGGCUUCACAACACACGCGAGAAAGCCGGACCUUGCGACCAAAGAGGAGGAGAGAGAGGCCAGGGAGGAGGAGAGAGAGGCCUGUACAUCAGGUCAAAGAAAUAGAAAAAGAAAGAUGUGGGGAAGAUGGCGAAGGCGAUAAAGGGAGUGAAGGAAUAUGAUGCGGUUCACACGUUGCUGGGCCAUUGGAUCUAACUUGAUCCAACGAGCUGCGUCUGUCCGGCGGAGUAUUCGGCCGGCACGCCGGGUGGAGACGUUUUGCCAAUGAAAAAGCAUGUCUGACGUCGAUUCAACUUUAGGGCAGAAUGGGCUAGUGUUGGGCGACCUCGGAAUUGUUGGAUGUGUUUGGUCCUAGGUUAGAUGCUGGGCGCAGGCUCUGGAAACCGCCAUGUUGUUCUGGGAUGUCCACUCCGAUCGCUUGAGUUAUAGAGUUAUCGGCUCAUUUAUAAAAAAAACAUCAUGGACUGUUUUGUGCCAUCCAAAAUCUCCCAAAUUGUGCCUCAGGCUUUUAUAAACCCCUCCAACUAUAAGAGAAGAGAACGGGCCUACGAGUACCAUGGACUCUAGUUCAACGUGCUACUGUUAACUGACGCUCUCCUCCAUCACCACAUGAAUGCAUACUCUUGCAUUGGGUUCGGCAGUCAUACUCAUAUGUUCAGUGAUCUCAACAUCACACAGGCAUCCUGCCGUCCGUGGUGCAGUCUAUUCUCUAUUGGCCGCACUGGCCGGAGUAAAGUAUUCCUCAAGGCCGGUAUGCUAGUGGAAUAUGACGGUCAUGUAUGGAAGGUGGUUGUGUUGAUAUGUUUGCUUUUGCUAUUGGCUUGGCUUUGGUAUAUGUGUCUUGCUUUAUUCGUCAUGUUGCCUAAAGAAAGAAAGCAUCCUGGUCCUAACAAAUGAAUGAAUCGUAUGCUUUGCUUUGCUUUGUCGGUCCAUGCAAACAUGCUUAAGAAGUUGGGCAUCGGCUCCUUCCGCCUGAGCUGCUUUAACAACGUAGAUGGAUUAUAUUAUCUGGUGCGACUAUUAAUUUUCUCUGUACAACCUGUAUUUCAUCUUCAUUUUUGUAAAUUACUUAAGCUGAAUUCUCAAAUUUUAAUUCCAUUUCCCCUCUAUACGAUUACAGCAAACCUACCAGAGCACAAGCAGGUGUGGCAUGUCAUAUGCACUUGUGUCCAGUUGGCGUACAAUACUAUACUAGUUGUCCAAAGCUGACUUCAUCCUAAUGGGAGAUAGUAAUACAAAAUACUUCCAAUUGAUCGCCCAUGGUCGACAUAGGAAGAAAUGUAUUCAUAGUCUCCAACAGGAUGAGGGUCGGAUCGAAGGUCAGAAGGAGCUCAAAAAGUAUAUCACCAGCUACUACAAAUCUCUUUUCGGGCCGCCAGAUGAAGGGAAUGUCACCCUUGACGAGGCCCGAAUAGAUGAUAUUUCACAAGUCAUGGUAGAAGAGAAGAAUAUCCUCACGGCACCUUUCUCGGAAGAGGAGGUGAGAGUGGCGGUGUUCCAAAUGGAACACAAUAAAGCUCCAGGACCUGAUGGUUUUCCCGCAGUAUUUUAUCAGAAGUUUAGGGAUAUCAUCAAGGCUGACCUUCUGAGUUGUUUAAGUGUCUUCAUGCCGAUCAACUUGAUCUAUUUAGGCUAAAUUUUGGCGAGAUUGUUUUGUUGCCAGAAAUUAAAGAGGUCGAACGGAUCCAACAGCUCAGACCCAUAUGCCUCCUUAAUGUCAGCUUCAAGAUUUUCACCAAAGUAGCUACGAAUAGGUUAAACUCGAUAGCUGACCAUGUUGUCCGGCCAUCUCAAACGGCCUUCAUGCAAGGAAGGAAUAUACUAGAUGGUGUAGUUAUCCUUCAUGAGACCGUCCAUCACUACUAGGAAAAGGCCUACUAGUGGCGCACCAGUUUUGCCUACUAAUGACGCACUACUGGUGCGCCACUAGUACCACGCCACUAGUAUUAUAUACUAAUGGUGCACCACUAGUGCGUCAUUAGUAUCUGNNNNNNNNNNNNNNNNNNNNNNNNNNNNNNNNNNNNNNNNNNNNNNNNNNNNNNNNNNNNNNNNNNNNNNNNNNNNNNNNNNNNNNNNNNNNNNNNNNNNGUUACUAGUCCUUUCUUGCUUCAGCGGUAUUGUGGGAUGAAGCGGCCCGGACCAACCUUACACGUACGCUUACGUGAGACCGGUUCCACCGACUAACAUGCACUAGUUGCAUAAGGUGGCUGGCGGGUGUCUGUCUCUCCUACUUUAGUUGGAGCGGAAUCGAUGAACAGGGUCCUUAUGAAGGGUAAAUAGAAGUUGACAAAUAACGUUGUGGCUUUAACGUAGGUAAGAAAACGUUCUUGCUAGAACCCUAAUUCAGCCACGUAAAACUUGCAACAACAAUUAGAGGACGUCUAACUUGUUUUUGCAGCAAGUGGUUUGUGAUAUGAUAUGGCCAAAGUUGUGAUGAAUGAUGAAUGAUCUAUAUGUGAUGUAUGAGAUGUUCAUGCUAUUGUAAUAGGAAUCACGACUUGCAUGUCGAUGAGUAUGACAACCGGCAGGAGCCAUAGGAGUUGUCUUUAUUCUUUUAUAUGACCUGCGUGUCAUCAAGAAACACCAUGUAAAUUACUUUACUUUAUUGCUAAACGCAUUAGCCAUAGUAGUAGAAGUAAUAGUUGGCGAGCAACUUCAUGGAGACACGAUGAUGGAGAUCAUGAUGAUGGAGAUCAUGAUGAUGGAGAUCAUGGUGUCAAGCCGGUGACAAGAUGAUCAUGGAGCCCCAAGAUGGAGAUCAAAGGAGCUAUGUGAUAUUGGCCAUAUCAUGUCACGUUUAUUAUUUGAUUGCAUGUGAUGUUUAUCAUGUUUUGCAUCUUGUUUACUUAGAACGACGGUAGUAAAUAAGGUGAUCCCUCAUACUAAUUUCAAGAAGUGUUCCCCCUAACUGUGCACCGUUGCGACAGUUCGUUGUUUCAAAACACCACGUGAUGAUCGGGUGUUUUAUUCAGACGUUCACAUACAACGGGUGUAAGACAGAUUUACACACGCAAACACUUAGGUUGACUUGACGGGCCUAGCAUGUACAGACAUGGCCUCGGAACACGGAAGACCGAAAGGUCGAGCAUGAGUCGUAUAGAAGAUACGAUCAACAUGAAGAUGUUCACCGAUGUUGACUAGUCCGUCUCACGUGAUGAUCGGACACGGUCUAGUUUAACUCGGAUCGUGUAAUACUUAGAUGACUAGAGGGAUGUCUAAUCUAAGUGGGAGUUCAUUAAUAAUUUGAUUAGUUGAACUUAAUUAUCAUGAACUUAGUCUAAAUAUUUUACAAUAUGUCUUGUAGAUUAAAUGGCCAACAUAGUCCUCAACUUCAACGCGUUCCUAGAGAAAACCAAGCUGAAAGACGAUGGCAGCAACUAUACGGACUGGGUCCGGAACCUGAGGAUCAUCCUCAUAGCUGCCAAGAAAGAUUAUGUCCUACAAGCACCACUUGGUGACGCACCCGUUCUCCCUGCAGAACAAGAUGUUAUGAACGCUUGGCAGGCACGUUUCGAUGACUACUCCCUCGUUCAGUGCAGCAUGCUUUACAGCCUAGAGUCGGGGCUCCAAAAGCGUUUUGAGAGACAUGGAGCAUAUGAGAUGUUCGAAGAGCUGAAAAUGGUUUUCCAAGCUCAUGCCCGGGUCGAGAGAUAUGAAGUCUCUGACAAAUUCUUCAGCUGUAAGAUGGAGGAAAACAGUUCUGUCAGUGAGCACAUACUCACCAUGUCUGGGUUGCAUAACCGCUUGACUCAGCUGGGAGUUAAUCUCCCGGAUGAUGCGGUCAUUGACAGAAUCCUCCAGUCGCUUCCACCAAGCUACAAGAGCUUUGUGAUGAACUUCAAUAUGCAGGGGAUGGAAAAGACCAUUCCUGAAGUAUUUGCUAUGCUGAAAUCAGCAGAGGUAGAAGUCAGGAAGGAACAUCAAGUGUUGAUGGUCAAUAAAACCACUAAGUUCAAGAAAGGCAAGGGUAAAAAGAACUUCAAGAAGGACGGCAAGGAGGUUGCCGCGCCCGGCAAGCAAGCUGCCGGGAAGAAGCCAAAGAAUGGACCCAAGCCCGAGACUGAGUGCUUUUAUUGCAAGGGAAGCGGUCACUAGAAGCGGAACUGCCCUAAGUACUUAGCGGAUAAGAAGGCCGGCAAAACAAAAGGUAUAUGUGAUAUACAUGUAAUUGAUGUGUACCUUACUAGUGCCCGUAGUAGCUCCUGGGUAUUUGAUACCGGUGCAGUUGCUCACAUUUGUAACUCAAAGCAGGGGCUGCGGAAUAAGAGGAAACUGGCAAAGGACGAGGUGACGAUGCGCGUCGGGAAUGGUUCCAAGGUCAAUGUGAUCGCCGUCGGCACGCUACCUCUGCAUCUCCCUUCGGGAUUAGUUUUAAACCUUAAUAAUUGUUAUUUAGUGCCAGCUUUGAGCAUGAACAUUGUAUCUGGAUCUCGUUUAAUACGAGAUGGCUACUCAUUUAAAUCCGAGAAUAAUGGUUGUUCUAUUUAUAUGAGAGAUAUGUUUUAUGGUCAUGCUCCUAUGGUGAAUGGUUUAUUCUUUAUGAAUCUCGAACGUGAUGUUACACAUAUUCAUAGUGUGAAUACCAAAAGAUGUAAGGUUGAUAACGAUAGUCCCACAUACCUAUGGCACUGCCGCCUUGGUCACAUAGGUGUCAAACGCAUGAAGAAGCUCCAUGCUGAUGCACUUUUAGAGUCCCUUGAUUAUUUAUCAUUUGACACAUGCGAACCAUGCCUUAUGGGUAAAAUGACCAAGACUCCGUUCUCAGGAACAAUGGAGCGAGCAACCGACUUAUUGGAAAUCAUACAUACUGAUGUGUGCGGUCCAAUGAGUGUUGAGGCUCGCGGUGGCUAUCGUUAUGUUCUCACCCUCACUGAUGAUUUAAGUAGGUAUGGGUAUAUCUACUUAAUGAAACACAAGUCUGAAACCUUUGAAAAGUUCAAGGAAUUUCAGAGUGAGGUUGAAAAUCAACGUGACAGGAAAAUCAAGUUUCUACGAUCAGAUCGUGGAGGAGAAUACUUGAGUCACGAGUUUGGGGCACACUUAAGAAAAUGUGGAAUAGUUUCACAACUCACGCCGCCUGGAACACCUCAGCGUAAUGGUGUGUCCGAACGUCGUAAUCGCACUCUGUUAGAUAUGGUGCGAUCUAUGAUGUCUCUUACCGAUUUACCGCUUUCUUUUUGGGACUAUGCUUUAGAGACUGCCGCAUUCACUUUAAAUAGGGCUCCGUCGAAAUCCGUUGAGACGACACCGUAUGAAUUNNNNNNNNNNNNNNNNNNNNNNNNNNNNNNNNNNNNNNNNNNNNNNNNNNNNNNNNNNNNNNNNNNNNNNNNNNNNNNNNNNNNNNNNNNNNNNNNNNNNGUAAGCUUAGAUAUUACUAGAAAGCCGUUUCAACAUGCAUAUAAUUUUCAGAAUUCAUUUCAACAUAUGUAUUUGGUGAUAGCGGGACGGGAAAGCAGUACCUGGUGAUUGCAUGUCGGCGACACAAAAGUCCUGGAGCGGGCCAGGAUCAGAGGCAACGGCCUGCCAUGAGACCAAGGCAAGAAGAGCAACGAGGAGAAGGAAAGAAGGGGAGGAUGCCAUUUGAUUUCAGCUCCUUUGGGUCUUCUUUUCUCUUGUGUAUUCCUGUUGUGUUUGUUGGGUGAGUGAUGGUUCGAAUAUGCAGGGGAUGUAUGUGUUUAUAUAGGCGUGGCGAGCAGUGCAAACUCGUGAGCAACGGACAUAGUCAAGUGGAACCGGUCAACGGAUAGAAAUUGUCUUUGGCUGCCCACUAGAUUAUUCUGCAUGAACUUUUCAGACAUGGUCAGCCACAUUCAAAUCUUUGAUAGAUUAUAUAAUCAAUGUUCCCUUUUGAGAUGCCAAAGCGACACAUUUUUCUCUUUAAUAAACAAAGAAGCAAAUUAAGGUACUCCAUCUGAUGUUUUUUUUUCGAAAGGUACUCCAUCUGAUGUACCCCUUAGUAAUAAUUACUGUGAGUAAUAAUUUUGAUUGUGUCCAACAAGGAAGAAAUCGUGGCACGUGGAUCCAUGCAUUAACGCACCUAAUACCACUACUAUAUGUAACAGCCCCUGUCAUGAUCACGUCAACCAGAUAUGCAGUUGCCUGGUCAAAUUUCUCUCCAAGUGGUUGAGUACUUGCAGGAAGAAGCAACCACAUAAUGCACGAUGGAGAGCAAGAGCAGUUAACAUCUUCUUAUUAAAUGAAGGAUCAUGUUUGUUUGCUGCUAUAGAAGCAUAUGAAGUUAGUGCCUGCAAAGAGGAGAUUUAUAAAUAUACAGAUCUAAAUGGAAAUACAUCUCACUAAAUGCGCACUUUUUGUCGCGUCCCGUUGUCAUGAAAAAUAGGAACAAGUUGUUCUUCAGCCUGCAAGUAAUAAUCUACAGAAGUGUGUAGUCUACUGGUCACACAUUCACACAGGUCAAAAAGCAUUGACAUAAAGGAGCUCUCUCACUACCAGUGUUAGAAAUUUUAAGUAAAUAAGUAUAGCAAACGUCUCCAGGUACUGCCAGACAGCAGGUAGGUUAUUUCUCUGCACAGACCAAAGUGUGUCAUUUGAGUGACCUUGCACUGCAGUAAAAUAUCAAUUAUGCAUGGAGAAUAAAUUGAUCUCUAAAUGUUCUUGAUCCUUAGGAAUUUAAACUCAAGACAGGUUUGUAUUAUACACAAUUGCAUAAAAUAGAAAUUAUGCAUGGAAAAUAAAUUGAUCUCUAAAUGUUCUAGAUCUCUAAAUGUUCUAAGUCCUUAAGAAUUUAAACUCUGAAGAGAAAACUAAGACUAUUUGACCUAUUUGAAACUAGGGGCUCAGCUAUGUGGAUUGAGAAUCUUCCGGGAGGCGCAAAGGACCAAGCCGGCCACAACUGGAGAAAAUGAGACUUAUCAUAUACUUGGUCAUAGAUUCAUAGUAGGAAGGAACUGGUGCGCACGAGGUCAGUCAAAGAGCAGUUGAGGAAAGCCAAGUCAUGUUUUUAUUUCUUUGAAAAGGAGGAUAAACCCCGGCCUCUACAUCAUGUAAGGCAAUCGUUUUCUAGCUGGACGAUGACAUAAGUCACCAACUCAUGCGUGGGCUUCUAAAGACGUGGAGUGACGACUACACAUGUUCCUUCCAGAAAUUGCUAUUGAUGCGUGCGAUCGAGCUUUUCAAACUAUGAAAUUGUCCCUUUUCAAAAGAAAAAACCAUGAAAUUGUAGAUUUGCCAAUAGAUUAUUUGUCAUGAAAUCCAGCAGCAUAAGACGACACAGUAGGUAGCGGACUGUGUCAACAAGCGGAAGAAAUCGAGGCGCAUUGAUCCAUGCAUGAAUCCACAUAAUACACCUGCUAUUUUGGUAGCAGCCCCUGCUACCAUCACGUCAAUCAAUUUUCUUUUUAGGAAGAGGAGGAUAACUCCAUCAACGAGAUAUUUACUUGGUCGAAUUUCUCUCGCAGUUGUUGAGUACUUGUAGGAAAAAAUCAAUGAUAUUAUUACUUAGUGGAUGUUCCUAGCUAACCAAAAGGAGAGCUAUGACGAUGGAGCUGAACAGCAACUUUUCAUAUAAUCUUAGUAAGAGUAGUUAGUUUCCUCAUUGCUACGAUUCAAUCAUGACCAGUUCAUUGCAAAAAUAAGUCUAAGUAUCAGACCUCACCUGCUUCUUUUUUAGAAUAAACAGUACUAAUAAACUGAUUAAUUUCUAGGAGGUGUGUGUUUCAGUUUCCAUACAUAAAUGACAUUUGUCAUAAGUCUUGUUCCUCUUGCGAUCCCCCUUGACGAAGCAAAAAGGCAAAAAAAAAAGGGGGGGGGGCACAAGUUGUAGCACUAAAGCGGCCUUUCUUUAUUAGGCUCAGGGCCAUAGUUUAAAUAGCCGGCUAUAGUCUUUUCAGCAGGGUGCCGCUAAAUGGUCUCAUGUACAAAUAGCCCGAUGUAGCCCACUAUAGCUGAAUUGGAGGUCCGCCUCUAUUUGGCAUAGCCCGCUAUUAAAAACAUUGCUCGGGACACACCUCACCUGCUUCUUUUGUUAGAGUAAACAGUACAUCCAAUGCCUAAGCCAUGUUUAGCCUCGCUAGGGAUUGAUGGCUUUCUCCGGCGACCUUGUACCAACGGCUUUGUGGCGGUGCAUGGGUUUGAGGUGUCGGAAGUUGAGGUGGUGGCCCUAGAUGGCAGGUUGCAUGUCUGGGUCUCCUGCGAACAGUGUAGAAGUGUAGUUUGCAUUGUCCCUUGGCUACAGGGCUUGCAAGGGGUGUCGUGGCAGGUGGUCGUGGCAAACUUGUCAUCAUCUAUGGUGGCCAAGCCCUGAUCUAGAUCUGGAGUCCUCGGCCCGUCAUGGUAGAUCUGGUUGCCCGAGUCCCCUUGGCGAGGUGUGCAGGACGGUCCAAACAAAAGCUCGACAUCUCGACGCUGGUGGCAGCGAUGUCUUGGUAGUUAUGUCCCUUUUGGCUCGUCGCCAUGGCUCUCCCACCCUUCGAGCUCAGGGUGAAAAUUCUUGUCCGCCCUGGUGGACAUGGUGGUGGCGACCCAUUGUGUCAUGACCCUCUUGGGGGCUUUACCGGUGAGUGCAUUUNNNNNNNNNNNNNNNNNNNNNNNNNNNNNNNNNNNNNNNNNNNNNNNNNNNNNNNNNNNNNNNNNNNNNNNNNNNNNNNNNNNNNNNNNNNNNNNNNNNNAGUCGCACGUCGAAGAGGCACUUUCUGACUGACAAGUUUGUUGCGAAUGUUCCAAAGCAUCCAGGCGAGGAUCCCAAUGCACAACCAUCUAAUAUGGCGGUAGCGUGGAUCUCAGCGAGUAAGUCAGGGAAGUUGGUGUUGCACCAUUGUCUGCCGACCGUCUCACGGAAGCACGACCACAGGAACUGGGCGGUGGAGCAGGAAAAGAAGAUGUGGUUCGAGUCCUCCACCGUGUUGCACAAGGGACAUAUCCCGUCACCUAGGCCGUUGUGCUUGCGGACUUCAACCCCAGAGGGGAGGCGUCCCCGGAUCCACUGCCAUAGGAAUAUCCUGAUCCUGAGGGGAAGGCGAAUGUCCCAGAUCAGGCUAAAGGGCUCAUGGGCCAACGAAGGAGCAAUGGCCGCGUACAAAGAUUUCAUGGAGAAGCGGCCGGAGGGCUCCAGGCGCCACGACAUGGAGUCAGGGGUGCCCUCUACAUUGGCAGGAGAGCGAUGUCCUGGAGAAGGGCGUCCCACAUGUCGACCUCAAGGGGGGCAAAGGGGCCCCGGAAGGCGAGACGCUCUAAGUCAAUAAGGGCCGUCUCGACGGAGAUCCGGGGGUCAGCCGCAAUGGCAAACAGGCCCGGGAAGCAGGCGGCCAGUGGGGAGUCCCCUAGCCAACGGUCGAACCAAAACAGGGUCGAGGACCCGGAACCCAUUGAGAUGGACGUGCCAAUACGGAGCACGGGGAGAAGCUGGAUCACCGCCUGCCAGAACUGGGAUCCACUUGAGCGCUAGCAAAAAGCUAAAGGCUGGCCUGAAGGUACUUAUUUCGGAUGAUGGUGAGCCAGAGGCUGCCCUCCCCGUUGGCGAUACGCCAGAGCCAACGGGUCAGGAGAGAAAUGUUCAUGCACCGGGAAGACAGGAUCCCAGACCCCUUGGUCCUUGGGUUUGCAAAUGUAAGGACAGCUCACCAUACGGUACUUCUGCUUGUCCUCCUCGCCUGCGCAGAAAAACCUGGACUGGUACUUGGCAACCUCCUGAUGGAGCGUCUCAUGCAGGCUAUAGAAGCUCAUGAGGAACCAGAGGAGGCUGGCAAGCGAGGAGUUUAUGAGGAUUACCCUCGCCGCCUUUGAGAGCCACCGACCCUUCCAGGGCUCGACCCAGUGUUGCAUCCGGGUCACGGAUGGGCAGAGGUCCGCCACGGUGAGUCGCGAGUCACUAAUGGGUAUCCCCAAAUAUGUCGUGGGGAAAGUGCCCAGGCAGCAAUUAAGCCAGUUAGCAAUGCCCUGGGCCUUGUCCGGGGGUAUCCCAGAACCAUCACUUCACUUUUAUCGAAGUUGAUAGUGAGCCCGGACAUCUUUUGGAAGCAUAGGAGGAGAAACUUCAGGUUGGCAAUAUCGGUCGUGGAGCCCUCGACCAUUAUUAUGGUGUCGUCGGCAUAUUGGAGGACGGAGACCCCUCCCCCUCCUACUAGGUGUGGGACCACGCCGUGGAUAUGGCCUGCCGAUUUGGCCUUGUCCAGGAUGGCCGCAAGGGCGUCCACCACCAUGUUAAACAGGAACGGGGAGAAUGGGUCACCUUGGUGAACCCCAGAAAGUGUGGGGAAGAAAGGGUCAAUCUCACCGUUAAUGUUAAUGGUGGUUCGAUCGCAGGAGACGAGCUGCAUAACUCUAGUCACCCAGCGGUCAUCAAAGCCCUUGCGGAGCAAUACUUCCCAAAGGAAGGGCCAGUGAACCGUAUCAUAGGCUUUAUGAAAGUCGAGCUUCAGGAAGACCGCCCGAUGGUGCUCGGAGCAGACUUCAUGAAGAACCUCGUGGAAAACCAACACCCCAUCCAGAAUAAAUCGCCCCUGAAUGAAGGCCGAUUGAUUGGGAUGAGUGAUCGUGUCAGCUAAAAGGGUCACCCUAUUGGCGUACCCUUGGCCAGGAUCCGGAAUAUCACAUUGAUCACAGUGAUAGGCUGGAACUAGCGGAUGUCAGCCGCGCCCGAGACUUUGGGGAUAAGGGUGACAACCCCAUAGUUUAGGCGCCCGAGGUCCAUGGUCCCCAAGAAGAAUUCAUCGCAGAGAGCCAUGACCUCUGGUUUUAUGGUCUGCCAGAACGCUUUAAAAAAGGACACUGGCAGUCCAUCCGGUCCCGGGGUCAAGGAGGGGUUCAUACCCUUAAUCGCGGUGAGGACCUUGUCCUCAGAGAAUGGGACAACUAAGGCGGCGUUAGCCGCAUUGGACACUAGCUGGGCGCCCGACCAGGUAUCGGGCGCCAGAGCGGCCCCACCCCGAAGGGUGGGGUUGAAUAGGGCUUUGUAAAAGCCAUCAACAUGCGCACGAAUGUCCUAAGGGCGGACAAGCUGGGAAUCUCCACCCCAAAGGCAAUGGAUGGAGUUUCGGCAUCGCUGCCCAUUCACGAUCGCCUGGAAGUACGCCGUAUUAGCUUCUCCCCGAAGCACCCAUCGUUGGGUACCGCGGAGCCUCCAGUAUGCUUCUUCAUCUGUAUAGAUGGUAGCGAGCUGAUCCUCAAGAUCAUAACGCAGCAUCCACUCAUCCGAGGAAAUCCCGGAAGUGUCCGCGCCGGAGUCCAAGCCCUGGAUGGCAGUAAGGAGGGCUGUCUUGCAUUCACAGAGGUCUCUGUCAAGGUUGGCACCCCAACCCUUCAUAAAUUGGCGGCCGAGCUUGGCACAGAACUGCCACGAGUCCACUGCCGACAUGUGAUACGUCUCCAACGUAUCUAUAAUUUUUGAUUGUUCCAUGCUAUUAUAUUACCCGUUUUGGAUGUUUAUGGGCUUUACUUUACACUUUUAUAUCAUUUUUGGGACUAACCUACUAAUCGGAGGCCCAACCCGAAUUGCUGUUUUUUUGCCUAUUUCAGUGUUUCGAAGAAAAGGAAUAUCAAAUAGAGUCCAAACGGAAUGAAACCUUCAGGAGCGAUCUUUUUGGAACAAAUGUGAUCCAGAGGACUUGGAGUGGAAGUCAAGAAACAAGCGAGGCGGGCACGAGGGUGCCCGGCGCGCCCCCUACAGGUGGGCGCGCCCCCACCCUCGUGGGCCCCUCGAGCAUCCACCGACCUACUUCUUCCUCCUAUAUAUACCCAUGUACCCUGAAAACAUCAGAGGCGACCACGAAAAACUAUUUCUAGCGCCGUAACCUUCUGUAUCCGUGAGAUCCCAUCUUGGAGCCGUUGCCGGCGCUUCGCNNNNNNNNNNNNNNNNNNNNNNNNNNNNNNNNNNNNNNNNNNNNNNNNNNNNNNNNNNNNNNNNNNNNNNNNNNNNNNNNNNNNNNNNNNNNNNNNNNNNCUCGGCAUCUUCUGUACCAGCUAAAUAUCCAGCAGGUAUGCAUUUCCUUCCCUGCUACAGAUUUCUCUUCUGCAAGCAUACAUCUGUCUCUCUCCCACCAGCACACUAAUUAUUUUCCUGCUCUAGUUCUGAACUGAAUGGGGGACGAAAGUGUGUUGGUGCGUAUACUCAACGGAGAAGAGGAACCCAAAGAUCUUCCGUUAGCGCUCUUACAAAGCAUCACCAAUGAUUUCUCUCAAGACAGAAAAAUUGGUCAGGGUGGAUUUGGAGCCGUUUACAAGGUACUCUAUCCGUCCCAAAAUAAGUGGCUCAAUUUUGUACGUACAAUUUACCAUUGAGCACAUACAUAAAAGAUCUCCAGUCCACUAAAAUAUCACUAGUUCAAUUACAAAAAAAAAAA
Molecule: long non-coding RNA, 62468 nt
Filed under: Triticum aestivum (bread wheat)
Lineage: Eukaryota; Viridiplantae; Streptophyta; Magnoliopsida; Poales; Poaceae
Description: long non-coding RNA (TAES_LNC019014)
Source: RNAcentral